Molecule: long non-coding RNA, 75124 nt
Filed under: Xyrichtys novacula (pearly razorfish)
Lineage: Eukaryota; Metazoa; Chordata; Actinopteri; Labriformes; Labridae
Source: RNAcentral
CUUCUGCCGUCAGUGUUAUUUACAGGGAAACUAAAAUGCUCCCAAACAUGUGACUUAAAUGAUGGAGGAGGUUUUUCCAAGUUCCUCCGCUAGCCAUGACUACGCUGUUCUUGACAGGUGAGUGUGGAUUGAACAUGCGGCCUUUAAGUGAACACACGCAACAUACAUGCUGAAAUGUGGAGCGGUAUCCGUUAGGAUCAACAAUGAUCCAUUGCACCACUAGUUUCAGCUGACAUACUAACAAACUUCGCCAAAAGUUGGCUAUGUUUGGUCACCGCUACAGCAAGGCGACUUAUUCUUGCCAGAUCACCCAAGCUUGAUGUUUCUGAGACUGUAACUGCGUUUCCAUUACCCAUAGAUUUGCGCAAAACCUAAAUAUUGUGCGACCUAAAUAAAGGUCGCACGGGCAGGAAGUUUACCUCGUUGCUAGGCAACGGCCAUUCAAACACAGCUCACAAGAGGCAGACGGCUCGCUUAUGCACUGAACACCAUUCAAUGGAAACACCCGCAAAUCGCAAUUGUACUUUGUCGAAAUUUGAUAAACAUCGCUUUUAUUUUGCGAAAUAAUGUUAUGGAAACGCAGCUUGUGUUAUCUGAUGCUCUUUGGGGCUUUAGCUAAUUUGCUCGCCUAAUACAGUCAACCACAGUGGGAUGUAACAGUAGCACACACUUAGGCUUAGCUUUAGCAAGCUAAUUAACUUGGGAUCACUGAUGUUAGCCAAACUAAGCUAUCACUGUCACUCAACGGUUGGUUGCUGUGGGUUUUUGUCAGGUGGUUGUUGCUCUAAGGUUUACUGUUUAAUUCUAUAGGCUAAAGAAGAGAUAUGUCUUUAAUGUUGUGAGAGGGAUCCAGUUAAAGCUGUAAGCAAGUUCUUAAAGACUGAGUGCUGGGAAGGGCGUGUUUGAAUUAUUGUUCCCAUUUUCCCUGAUUUGUUGAAUACCUACUCUAGAAACUUUUUUGACAUUACUUUCACCAGCAAACUUUGUACUACAAAUUGUUGUAUAAAAAAGCAAACGCAGUAUAAAUCUAAUUUCUCUUUCUGAUACCAUUAAUGAUAAUAAAAAUGAUGCCAGUCAUGGUAAUCAGGCUCCAGAGACAUCACUUUAAUAAAGCAUUGCUUCACAGAAAAAAAUUGAAUUUCCUGGUGAUUUCAUUUGCUUUUCUGAUCAUGUGGCACAUGCAUUUAUCAAACAUUUUUUUGUUCUUCCACAUCCAGAUUAACAUUUUGAUAGAGACAGUAAGCAGAUAUGUGGAAGGAGGAACUGAGUUCACCCAGGAUGGAAAUAGAAACUCAGCAGAGAAAUGAUUGAACUUCCACAGGAGACUUAUUGGAUGUAGAGAGUUUAAACUUCCUGACAGGGUAUGGAGCUUGUCAGUGCAGUCAGCUUGUAAAGUUUGACAGGAAAAAGAAAGAAAGUGACGAAUUUGUCCACCCUUUUCCGCCACGGUAAGUAGAUUCAACAGCAGCAUCGUUGAUUAUUAAAUUUCAUAUGGUAAUUGAAGCAGUUUGGAGUUACUUCUGAACUGUAGAUCUUUGCUCUGCACUAUACACUCACGGUCAAAGCUGGUAAUAAAUUUUUUAUGUGACACAAAGAACUCCGCCGAUACGUCCUUGCUGUUCAGGAACUUUCAGCGUGUCACACCAGCAGCAAAUACCCCACUGAAAUUCAAAUGUGGUGAGUCGCAGUUAUCUUUUUUAUGGGGAUUUAGAUAGAGCUGUUUGGAGUCGGGGUUUCCCAUUCAUUUAUUCUGCCACCUUUGAGCCGCUCAGCUGUAUUACUGAAAUGAUGCAGUGUGACAGUAAGCUAUUUUUAUCCCCCCUCUCCAUCGUUUUUUAGAAAUUACAGCUGAUUUACUGUGGAAAAGUCAUAGAUUUCCAACCAGCAGCACGUGAAUUAGAUAUAGUUCAUAACAGCGUCUUAGACUGCCUAUUGAGUUUUGUUCCUCUGUGACCUGUAGAUCAAAGUAAUGGACUAUCAGAGGCUGUGCACGCCAAACUAAAGAGGCUUGCAGCUUGGAAAGGCAAAGGCUCGAGCUACAGUGGGAUUUAAUGGUUUCAGGCCGGUUCUUAAUUAUAGGAUAGUUUCCCCUGAGUAAUAUCUCUCAUAUGGGAGCGGAAGGCAAUUGUACAUUUCAAACUGAUCAAUACAGCAGGGUGGUUUGAUUAAAAGUACAUGAACAGUCUCCAUCAAAUCAAUUAACGCACAGUUAUUCCACUGGCAGCAAUGCAAUAAAUCGGACCUGAAAGUUUCUGAGUACUUCUAAAUCACUGAUUCGUAUGCGUGUCUGUGUGUGUAUGUGUGUGUUAUCUUUGUUGUAUGUUAAGAGGCGUUUGCUUCCAGCUGUCUACCUACAGUCUCUCUCUGUUAUUGAGAGAGUCUGUGUCCUUAACAAGCAGCUCUUGAAGCUCUCUCUGUCCUCUGUGCUACUGUUGACAUCUUGCACGAAUGCCCCGAUAAUGGCCCAAUGACUUUUUGUUCCGACCAGUUCAGCGGGUCAGACGUGUCAUCCAUUCCACUUUGGUCCGAGUUGGUAUUGAUCUGCGGCGUCUUUUUUUUUUUCCUCUUUGCUGGGAUUUCUUCAGCAGUGAGAGAAAAAUACUCCUCUCCCUGCAUAUCCGGGGCCACACUCGACACAUCUUACAUCCAGACAAGCUGUAAACACUGAUAUGAUGCAGCUCGAUAGUGAAAAGCACAGCUCCAAAUGUUUUUGGAGUUAUGAGAUCUUAACUCAGAAAAAUAAAAGUUUCAAGCUGUGAAGAUGCACUUUCUUGAAAUGUGUUGCUCAGAGACUCAUAGAUUUCUUAUAAUGGAGCUAUAAAACACCCAUUGUAUCCCAGAAAAAGAUUGAACAGAGUGUUGAGAUAUUUCUCAAGCUUUUUAAAGAGAAGGUCGUUUUAAAUGACACGCUUACUUCCACAGUUUCAUGUGGGAUUUGUUGAAAUCUGAUGUGAAAGGAUGACAAAAUAACUAAUAUAGAACCUUAUCUCUUUAAAAUCCAGGCUGCACUCAUGAUUACCCUCUAAUUACAAACUAUAUCAAAUGAACGCCUUUGUUUGAUCACGCUCCAAGUUCCUGUUUCUAUGAGCAAUUAUGAAUUCAAGCAGAUGUGCUACAUACUAAUGAACAAAGACCAAUAAUUAUUAUAAUUAGGAUAUUUUUAAACUUUAAGGUAGAAAUACAAAAACUUUUCAAAGCUCUUUAAAGUAUGCCUUGAUAUCUUUAAAUUGGUAAAGGAUACAUGUCGUAUCACAGAUGUUACCAAAAGUAUAUAGCGGAAAUUCUUGAAAACAUCUGAGUAAACAUGUGAAAGAAUCUGCAGUUCUACAACAACAUGCAUGCCAGCUUUAGCUUCUCAAAAACUCAGACCCCAUUCAUUGCCAGAUAAGAGUCUUAAAGACCCACUCUGAUAAAAAUCAUGUUUCUCUUGUUGACCAUUUGUUUAUAUGGUAUUUUUCUAAUGCUAGAGGAUAUCAUGAGAAAAUUAAGUGCAAAAUUUCUGAAUAUAUCUGCAUUAAUGGCUGUGAACCUCUGGCAGAUCCGAACAGCAGAUUCAGACACAGUGACAUUUCCUACAUCACAAGUCCAUGCUCUGCCCCUGGCACCCCGCUCUGCUGGCCAGACCCCGAGAAGUAGAGAUUGCGGAUUGCAAUGCUCGUACGAAAGCAAAUUAUGAUAUUAGCUUUCAUCAGGCCCCCCCAAAGUCAUUUGUGUUGGAGAGCAGCGGACAAGGUUUCUCGGUGGGGGAGGGUGCAGAGCAGCGCUGCCUCCGCUCAUGACUCGGAGGUGAAUUGCUAAUGAGCUACUGGAGCUCUGCAGAAGACAAGCGCCUGAAAAUUACACAGGGAACGUGAUUUACAAUUCACGUUACCUGUGUGUUACACAAUUCUUCUGGGAACACUUAAAAAAGUAAAAAAAAACAAAAAACGACAUACGUCAUAUAAGAUUCUAUCAUUCAUAAUAUUCAAUGAAAUGGUUGGUGUCAGGAUGUGACAACUGCGACAGAAAAGUGCGUCAUAGUUUUGUAAUCCACUGUACUCCUUCAUAUCGACACUUCUUCAAUCCUUUGAUCAUUCUCUAAUUGUAAUGUUCACUUUAUUUUCUAGCCUCUUAUAAAUACAGUCUGCUUUUUCACACUAGAAGUGCACAUUUUUUUCCUAGAUCGGAAUGAAUAAUUUAGCUUCUAAGUGAGGUUACUCUAAAAUCAAAGAUGUAGCUUGUCUGGUGUAAUUAAGAGCCUUCUUUAUGACCAUGUUAGAAGUGCUCUGUCAACUCAGUGUAGUGAGCCUAAAACUCAUUUUUGCAAGUGUUUCAUCAGUCGUGCAUAAUGUUACUUUGAUGCACAUGGCAGACAAAAGUGAGCAGUAUUAGCCUGAUUUCAUGUUAAGGUUAUUAGGUGAUUGAAUGACAAGGUUCGUCCUCGCUUGCAGACUGCUUACUGCUUGACAGUAUACUUGGAGUUAGACAGUCUUUUUCACUUCUAAAUGACGACACUCUGUGCAGUCAGAUCAUACUUUGGAUGAAGAUUUCCUUUUAACAGUUUGUCCUUGAUACAAAUGGGGAUACAUUUUGAUAGGAGGCCAAAGGACUUAGGAAAAACCUCAGUAUUUGCUGACCGGUGGAUAAGAAGCGUUUGUAUUGUCUAUGAGCUUCAGGUGUGACGGCGAGCUGAGUGGAGCAGGGAAACAUAUGGCAUGCAGGAUGUUGCGCAAUGAACAAAAGAUUGGCAUUGUAACCACUGUCUUUCAACAUCUUUCAACCUCCAUAAAAGAUGUUCCCUUUCUUCUGCUUCUUAGGCUGACUUCAAACUGGAAGUAUGUUGGUUGCAUGACAGCAACAGGGUGCGGCAUUGUUUUUUUUAAAGCCAAGAAUUACUACUCUAUUUUAGGUAAAGCAUAUCAGAGGAUGCUUUGGGUGUUAUAACAGUUUAGGGAUGAUAUCAGCUAAGCAGAAAGGGGCAGGGAGAUGGAUGCAGAAGAGAGGGAAAGAGGGAGAUAUUGAUGAUGUUGUUUUAUUAAUCAAAAUAACAUAGCUGCAGCCAAUGUGAUUUAUGACAACUUGAUACACAAUUUAAAAGGAUAUUCCGGCAAGUCCAUUAUGGACUGCUGCGGGGUGACGCAGCUCAAGGAAGAACAUUUAUGAUCAUUUUUUAAUAAUUUCUUUGAAGUAAUAAUCAUUAUAUUAAUCAUUUUACACUGCAGACGCUGUAGUUCUUCUGCCUUAGCGUCUUGGUCUGAUUGCAUUUCCAUGAAGAAAUGAUCAUAAAUGUUCUUCCUUGAGCUGCGUCACCCCGCAGCAGUCCGUAAUGGACUGGCCCGAGGUUUUGUUACAAACAAGUGGCUGCUGGAAGAGAGUAGGUGAGUUGUGUUUAGUCUCUUUGCUAAAGGAACCAGGCAAAGUUAAAAAGAUGUUUGGUGGCUAGUGCUGUGGCUAGGACCCUAUAUGUACUGUUGAUGAGGUUAGGUGCUGUUCUGAGCAUUAUUUGUGGCUAUAGAGUGGCUUUUUGGUUGAGCGUGUGUCUCUCUGUAUUGCUGUUGUGCGGUCGUUACUAAAGUUGGUAUAACUUGAGAAGCAAGUGGUCGACAACAUUCAUCUCUCGAGGGGGUGUCUAACUCGGUGUUAUGGUGUGUUUGACCCUAAAUUAAUUUUAUAUCCCUUUAAGUAGAGUCCUGAAAAAAAUAGAUGACUUAAUUCACCAAACUAGGUGGAUCUAUCCACUGAAAAAAGAACAGAUCAAGCUUUUGCUCUAAGUGUAAGUUUGAAAAGUAUGACAGUCAACAAAACUUUGACAAGAUAACAGUGUAAGAUCUUUGCAUUCUUACUAUUUCAUACCAUAUUUGACAGAGUAUCAGAGCCCAGUAUCCACACUGAUAUAGCCACAGGAUGAACUGUGUUAUGUGUUUGGAUAAAGUCCAAGCCUGCCGUUUUGUUAGCAGGUACUUUCAAUCUCCGAAACCCAGAGAAAUAAAAGAAAAAUGUCUUACUGUCAUGGUGCUCAGAGGUGAGCUAGUUGAGACAGUCGGCUUACUCGAUGACUUUGAGAAGUUCUACAAGACCUCAUCCAGUCACGCAAGCAGGAUGUGAGCGAUUCAAGGCGGACAGAGAUAUCAUCCAUCAGCCACUUCACCUGGGCCUAAUGGCUUGCCGCAGACAGCCAUGUUUGACUGUGUGUUUGAUGUGCUCACACCACAUUCCCACCUUCUCUUUUCAUGUCAGAAUAUCAGCAGGCAGCAUAGUGUCAGGGCUCACAAAUGGAUUUUCUAAUCCACUUGUUUGCUGGUAGUUCUUUCAACCCUCCCUUGGUUUUGAUGCCCAAGCCAAAAACAUACUUAAACACAAGCGUUGCCUUUAGACUCGUGUCUAUCUCACCCCUCCUCCUCCCCCACAGCUGUCAGUGCGUGUUUUGACGGGGGCUGAAACAUUUCCGUGGCGGAGAGAAACAGAUGCAGGAGGGAAAGGCGAAGGACAUCAGGAAAGCUCAAAUAAUGAGAUGUCAAGCAGGGGCAGACCAUAAUUGUUAAUUACAUUUAUUCCAGUGCUUUUGGAUUGCAGCCAUAAUGCUUUCAGGAAUAUAAAGUGGUGUCCUCAACAUGUUCCAGGUUCUGCCUUUUAAAUGGGCCCUGAGUGAUCAGACCUGAAACUCAAUAAAGUGGAGCCCUAUUUCAAUCUACAUGCAGGCUACACACGGCCAUAUAAGGAGAAAAGACAGACUUUUAAAACCACUGUGGACAAAGUACCAACAGCUCUCCACUGAAUGAAAAAAACAGCUGUUAAACUGGCUGCCAGUGUGUAAAUCAUCCGCUCUAACAUACACAAAUGAAUCCCUCUCUCUGUAAGUGCACAGAUAUCUCUCUGUAAAACAUUUUUUAAAACCCUAGAAAUAAAAAAAGAAUAGAAAAAAAGAAAACAAACACAUCUCACCAUUAGAGGAGAGUUUGAGCUCUGCGGUGUCAAGACAUGGUUCACAUGUUUUAUUUGAGGGCUUCACGUCAAGCUGCAAACAACGCCGAGGGUGUUUGCUUUGCCUUGGCCAUGUUUGCUUGUUCUGCGCUUUAAUUGACACAUUAAGUGACCUUUCCUCAACUUUAAACCUCCUCUUGAACUUGCGCUUACCAUGCUGCCGGCGAAUGGCGAUCGCUUUUUCAAACAUCUGAAAGUAAUUAAGAAUAUGCUGUACGAGACUUGUAAGAGAACACUGGAUUUCACAAGCGCCUUGUCCUCUGGUUAAACUCCAGACAACCCUUUUUAAAAAUUAACUUUUGACAGUUUCUGACAAUUUCAGGACUUUUCUGGAAUUGUGGCUUACACUUGUAGCGCCUGUCAAGAGAUUGUCAGUGUGAAAGGCUGCCAGGGUUCAAAAUCUCCUGUUUGGAUUUUAUAUGAGAAGUUCUGAGAAGAGCUUGAAUAGAAUAAACAAGGGGUAGGAGUUUUAAUGCAGCAGAGAAAAAUCCAUUAAUGUAGCAUGUAUGAGUAUGCAGGGCUUGACACUAACUUUUUGAAAAAUGCAGUCCAUUUCAUUUCUUUAUUUCUUUAUUUAUUUCUGGACAUGGUUAAAAAAAAUUUAUAUAAAAAAGACACACAAAACAACAGUUAAGAAUAAAAUAAAAUAAGUGCCCCACUUAGAAGCACAUCAAUCUCACUUAUCACAACAAAAUAAGAACAACAACAAAACCAGAGUAUCCACAUGUCCAAAAAAGGGGUAAGAAGAAGUCAAAGACUUGUCUAGUCUUACCCCUCUGUUACUGAUCUCAUAUAACUUAACUUAAACACUAUAACUAAAUGUUUUUAAGUUGAAAAAGUAAAGACCACACAGAGAACUUUAGGGGCACAAUGAAAAUUCAUCAAAUAAUGUUUGUCUUAUUGGUUGACAUAAGUACUAUUAUUUAAAAACAAAUUUAGGUCGGAAGCUCGCGAAGAAAAUUUUCAACAUUUGCCUUUAAAUUUAACACAAAAUUUUUUAGAGGACAAAUUAGGGGAAAAAAGAGGUGUGUCUUAUUGUCCAAACUUAGUACUAUUAUUUGAAAUCAAUUUUAGGUCAAUUGGUCACAUGACAUUGAAGCUAUUGAAGGAAAACAGCCUUUUUUAAGAACAUCAACCGGUAAUUUAUUGAUAGUCCCUUAUUCAACACCAAAUGUUCACAGCAAGAGUGCCCAGUAGAUUUAACCGCGCUGCUGCUGCUGCUGCUUGCCUCGGCUGAAUUUUUUUAUUUGCACAUGUGCCCCUAAAUACAUUUUACAAAUCGCACACAUCUAUUUUUAGUCGCAAAUGGGAGUGACACGGUUGCACUGUCGAGCCCUGGUACGUCUUUGCAAUCACACACAAUGGUUAGAAAACUUGUUAUCUGAGAUAAACAGUUGAAAGAACAAAGCAGGAAAACUUUUUUUUAAAAACACCCUCACUUCACCCACUUGCUUGAGGUGAAAUUUCAAACAUUAUAUUCUGUGUUUAUUCAUUAUGUUAACCUCAAGGUAGGAAAAAGUCAGUUUAAAGUCCGAGUCACCUUCACCCCUCUAAGACGAAGUCAGGAAUUUUCAAGAAUGCAUUUGUGAAAGGGGGUUUGUGGUUUUGUAUUGUCAGUUCUCUUAUCUUCUAUCCUGAUAAUAAAAACACUUCUUGUGAGUGUUUGGCUGAACAUCCUGCCAGCUUGCUGCCUUAAUUGAAUUCUUAAAAGAAACUGUCAAUCAUUCCACUUUUCUGUCACUCCAAAUGUUUCCGCAGCAAAGACAAAGACUCAGGAGAACUACAAACAAGACUGUGUUUUGGAAUCAACAACUCUUCCUCUGAUGUACAUAUACCUUCCUAGUUUAACUUGCCACCCCCAAACCAUCUGCUGUCAGACACUGGUAAUUAGUUUUAUGGUGUUCUUGGCAGCCAGAGUAUGGCUCCACGAUAAUUACCCUUUUAUUGUUUUUGUAUUCUAUUGUUAAUGUUGUUGUUGUUUCGUAGCUUGUCCUAAUUAAAAGUUUUGAGCUUUGCAGAAUUAACACAGUCCGCCCUUUUUGUCCUUCUAAAUGGUUUAUCCUGCAGAGCUUACAUUAAAGAAUAUGAUGGAUGGAGAGAGGGACAGGAGCAGAUAUGGCAAGGAGCCGGGCGUUUCUGUUUUCCUUUUUUUUUCAAGGGCUGUAAUAACUAUAAGAGUCCUCAGGUUGCUGGUACGUCUCUUUCUCUCUGAGGAGAAACUAUCAAUAUUUUCUACAAAAGCCUGUUUUUGUUUGUGGGGUUUUUUGGCGUUGAAAACAACCUGUGUCUCUCCUCUCUUCAGAUGUCUCUGACAUUCCUCUAUUUCCUUCUGCCAUGCCAUCCCCUGAGUAAAGCAUAAGUCAAUAUCCUCCCUGUGCCUCUCAUUGUGCUGUUUGUUUUAAUGGCUUUUAAGUUGACAGGCGGUCAGAACUAGCUUUACCGGUCCUUCAAAAAUGUGUUGUCUGAAAGGUCUCUGGUGCAAAGCUUUUGGUCAUCGCCGCAGCCAAAUCCACUUACACACCACCCGAUAAGCUCUCUCAUUCAACAGCGCACAUUAAUGUGAAGUAAAAGCUCUUGAGAUUAAAUGGAAGACUAGGCCGACUGAGACCAAACCCAAGUGAUAUUGACAAACAAAAAUCCAUCUUGAUCCUUUUGAAAUACAAAUCUUCAACAGUGAGACAGAUUGAAUGAAUACAGUAUUGAUUUUUUAAGAAUGAUAUGGGCUAGACACAGUUUCAUGGGAGACUGCCAGUUUUAAGGUUAUGCUAGACAACUUACACUUUGUUAAACUCUGUGGAUGUCUGCUGGUCAGCAACCACAUCACUGCCGACAUGGCGAAACAAAGAUAUAAAGAUCUUGCCUGACACCUCCUCAAGGAUUUCACUCUCGAGAAUUAACCGCCUUGAUGAGUCUUGUAUUUUUCCACUCAUAUUUGACGUUUGCUUUCCUCCUGUUAUGUAAAAAACAUUACAUUUCCACACAGUCAGAAAUAAAAAAGAAGUUUUCAUCCUGCUGAUAUUCAGAUGUGAAAUCCUUGAGCAGCCAACACGCAUUCAGGAGCUGUGCUGUCUCCUGCUACCCUCAGUUUCCAUCUUCUUUCUUCUUGCCAUCAAAGUUAGUUUUGUGGUUCGCGGUCAUUUCGAGACGCCGUUAACUCAAAGCCUGUCAUGCUGUUUCUCUCGUAUUGCACUGACUCCAUGGUACAUUCACACACUGGAAAGCCUCUCCACUAAUAACUAAUAGGCUAUUGAUCGGCAUCUCAUAUGCAUGUGAAAGGAAAUAGCCUAUGUGGUCAAACUAUGGAGAGGUUUAAUAAACAGGCCUAUGAUAGUCAGCAUCUCUAAGACAGAAUUCAAGAGGUUAUAUUUAAUACAACAAACAAGACUAUAAAAAUUGAUCCUUCGAUAUGAUCUGCAACAUUACAGGUUCAUAUUUUACAGAACCCCUUCUUUAUCGGGCAUUAAAUCAGCCCUCUUUUCUUCCAUAGAAGGGUGUAUAAUAUAAUGGAAACAGUGAAGUUCAAUACAAUCCGUUAGUGAGAGAAUUUGUCUGCUGUGUUUUUCCUUGAUUAUGUAAAUCAUAGACUCAGAAGAAGUAGUAUUUCAGCCUCUCUUUCGGUACAGUUGUUUGCUGUGAAGCAGUAAGGGAAAUGUGUGAUACAGCCUGAAUGACUGAUUACCAGAUCUUUAAAUCCCAGUCCAACCUGAACAAUGUCAAACAUGUAUGUUAUGCACAGUUACAUUUUUAUCUGACUCCAUCAUUUGCCAUUUUUUGCACAUUUUUAACACUGUUGUUUACAAAAAUGUAGGCUUGUCUGUGAUGUAAAAACAACCAAAGAACUUGUGUGUAUGUCCAUGUGCACAAGACGUGUUUAGCUAUAUUUUCCUCCAGAUGUUAACACCAGGCCAUUUUCGCCCGUAGCACUUGAAAUCAUGACUACAUUUUUUCCUCAUGAAUUGGUAGACAUCCAUGCUUUUUAGCUAUAAGAUGAUGAUUGAGGCAGUCAGCUGUCACUUUUAUUAAAAAUCUAAAUGUCAGAAAGUGGCCUUAGUGAUCCUGAGGUCAUUAAUUAUUUAUAUCAACUCAGAAAAAUUGGAGUCCUCCAAAUCUUCCACCGGACAACUCGCAGUUUCUCUAUGUUAGGGACGUGCUCAUGUCGUCGACCAAAUGAUUAAACAUCAUCACCUCUUUUAUUGAUGCUCUGCUACCUUGGCGAGUGCAGAUGACUGAUGGCAACUUUCACUGUGACACUUUUUCAUUUUAAAAAUGGGAAUAAAAUCAUAAGAAAAGCUGUCCCUGGUUAAACUUGCUUGACUAAAGUGAUAUAUAACCAUCAUAGAUAUGAGGGCUACCAGCAAAGACUGAAGGCUAGCUCUACUGUUAGCCAGUAGGGAUGUAACAAUAUAAUGAUAUAACUACUCAUGAUAUAACUACAUCACAAUAAGUGUUUGGGUUAGGCGCUGGGCGAAGUGCGUCUCGGCAGGGUUAAAAUACACUGAUAUCAGCACAACAAGGUAAUUAAACACUAAAGGCAAGUUUAAACACUCAAAAUAAAAAUAAACAUUCAUCAAACCACCAGAUGUAGAUUAACGUUAAUGCUCUUCAAUCUUCCGGUCUCCAGUGGGUUGGGCGAAUCCAAAAUGGUGAAGAUAAGGGGGGUGUUACGUGUUACUUGUUACGUGUGAAACAAGGGUGCUCUAAAAACACCCCCAUUAGCACUUGGUAUGUUGCUCCUGAUGAAAUUAACCAUAGACUGUUAAUUGACUCGGGAAAAUAAUCGAGUCGACCAAUCAGAAUUUUGGUCGACUCAGCAGGUAUCGACCAAUAAGUCGACCAGUCGACUAGGACUUUACAGCCCUACUCUGUAGUUCCACUCUGCUUCACUACAACUAAAACAAAACAACCCUUCUCACCUGGAAGUUUCAUACUGUCACAGUUCUACGAUGGUACCAGGACACUCUUGGCCAUACGAUACCCUGAUACUUCUGAGAUAUUGACAAUACUGUUCCGUCCCUGUUAGCCACACAUUGUUUACCCACAGCCACUGUCGUCUUGCGUUUAGCUACAUGAGAUAAAUUGUGCUCACCUUUGGACUACAAAUUAAAAACACAAAUAUCCAUUAAAGUGCCCUAAGAAAUUUGCCACUUGGGGACUUUUCCAACACUACUGUAUGAUCAUGUUUUAAAAGUCAACUGAACCAUGAUAUGAGAAAAUAAUUCCAGUUCUGAAUCCUAUUUGUCUUCAUACAUCCCAGACCCUUGCAACAAAUUUAUUAGGAAGAUUGUGUUUGUGUAAGUUUAUCUGUAAAUUAGCUUUAGUUAUUCUCCCUUCAUUGAGCAGGGAAACUUAAAUUUACUUGAUCCUUUAAUUUCUCUACAUUCUUCUUCUUAAUAAGUUUGCUUUCACAUUACUACACACCCAUUGUCCCGAAAUGCCAUCGCGUUACAUAUUUGCUCUGGCUAAUGACCUGUGCUAACAAGUAAGAGGGCUGCAGCUAUGUCUUUAUUUAACACGCGGAGAGUAAUGAUUUGCGCUCACGGGGGGGCUUCGUUGAGGGCCGGACAUCUCCGUCUGUGUCCUUUAAUAGGGCCUGUCUCCAGUGAUUAGGGAUUGUUGACAGGAGAAGUUGUAGUGCCGAGCACCAGAUGGGCCCCCAGUUUCUUCUCCCCAUUUAUUACCUCCUACCUAAUCUAUGCUUAUGCUAGAAAAUCACCAGCCUGCACACACAUGCAUAAAUGAACACAAGCUUUUUUCUUUUUGCUCAUUAUGUCAAAUAUCAGAUGGCGAAGCAAACAUUGUUAAGACAUGGGGGACAGCUUGGCUUCCUUUCCUCCCACGCCUCUAAAACUUCUGGGUCUUAGGGCCGCACUGGCAAUCUCACUCCAGCUCCCUCAUCAUUACACGACAGUUCACAGCACAGCAUCGGGAGUCCUCUAUCCUGAACCAGGCUGGAACCAAACUAAUUAGCCUGUCAUUUCUAUUCUCUUGUCUUUGAGGCGGCUGGAUUUUCUGUGAUUAGUUUCUUCCAUGUCAUUUCCAAAAUGGUUCAUAGGCCGCAAACUCUUUUCUGUCAAAAUUAAUCAACAGUGUCCUUUCUUCUUCAGAUAAAAAAAGAAAAAAAAAUCCAGUCCUUGAGCUAAUUGUGGAGAGAUGGCUCUGUCUCAAAGUCUUUUCCCUCGCACAGACAAAGAGGUCUAAUUCUCUGUUUUGAAUUGCUGAUAGUCGCCUUCUUCUCACGUCCUCCCCUGGGUCUCUAGAGAUCACACCCAAGUUCAGCAACACUCAUAACCCUUAGCCACCAGAGGCUGUAAUUGACCUGCACCUUUUGACUUGUGCUUGUACACUACCUGUACGACCAUAGAGUAGCAGACACGCAUAAUGAAUAACUAUGCCAUCCUCUGGGUGCUGAAGGAUGAAUUAAUUUGUAUGAAAGUGAAGGGUUACUAACGGGCAACCAAAGCAACUAACACAAGAAGAGCCCUGUUGUUUUGCUGUAUUCCAAACACACACAUUUUUGAUUAUAUACGUUCCUCCCAAAUGCGUCCUUACAUGCAAAAAAGUGAUCUGAUGGCAUACUAAUGCACACUGUUAGCCAUUAUGUAUGAGCCAUUUCUGCCUAAGCCACCAUGAAAGCCAAUCACACCAUUGCCAUCCAAAUUCCACUGUGUGCCUUAUUUUUUCGAACAGUUUAUUCUCAGCAAUUAAUGGCAGAGAGUUAAUUGCAGGCUGAACUGCAGAUGACCUCCUCUGCUCUGUUGCUGCCGCGUGUAUACCCUGAGAGAAGAGUGUAAUAGAUGUAGGGAGGAAGGAUGUGCUGAGAGGAUUAGUCUUGGCUCUUUUGUAAAGCCAGCCUGUGAUUUUUUUAAGUGAUAAAACCAGGCCAAAAUAUGGAAAAAGCUCUGAAAAAUAUGUUUUAAGGUAAAAUCCAUCAGUAAGAGACGGACCAUAAAAACCUGCAAAGGCUCUCUCUCCUUAAAGGAAUUUGUAGCACUCUGGAAGUUUCACCUCCAUUUGUCUCGAUCCAUCAUACAUGGUCGUUAACCUGUGACACGUGGCAACCAUCCACCAAUCAUCCCUUGUCAUAAAUCACUUUGUCCUGAGAAACAAUACCAUUUCUAUACCUCACAAUGCAAUCCCACAGGGGAGCGGAGAAAUCAAAGCAGGCGGUCACAUUGUCCUGUGCAAGUGGGGAAGGAGAGGCUGCUCGUCGCAUGUGACAAUGGUUGCAUAACCGGUCUAUGUUAGCUGAUAUUCGCUGGCCCCAUGCAUGCUAGAGCUGGCCUUAAUCGGCUAUGAUUGUAACUAAUGGCUGUAAUGAUGUACAUUUUCUCCCCAGCAGGACAGUGCAAUUAGGAUCAAGCGAAUUCAGUGGCUCCUCAGGGCCAGGCAGUCCCCCAUACCGUCUUUCUCUCCCAGUGUUGCAGCAUGUGUGUGUAUAAACGGUGUUUUUGUGUGUGGGUGAGAGUGAGGAACAGUCUGUUUUACAGAGAAAAUUGUAAAACAUGUUCUUUCUUUUAGCUGCUCUUUUAUAACUGACAAAAAAAAAAAAAACUUUUCAUUGUGUUUGUAGACUUGUGUAAUUAUCCAAACUGAUUAAAAACGUAUUUGCCACGACUAACACAAUUAUUACUUUUCCUUUAUGACGUACGUAAUUCAAUUAAAUGCAAAAGUUUUACAAUCAUUCGUUAGUGGAAGGGAAAAUUAGUUUAGUAAACAUUACCACAGGGUUGUCCAAUCUCUGUUUACUAGCAUUUGUUUCUGUGCUCCCACAUGUAGAUUGUUAAUUGUUUGCUUAUUAUAUUUUUUAAUUAUUUGUUUUGUUUGAGGCAAGUACACGUGUAGCACUUCAUUCUGAGACAGCUUGUUUGUAUUGCAUCGUAUCAUGUCGUGACUUGUCAUACAGAGGUAAAUGGAUUAAUUACUCCAGCUCUGCCAUUGCUGAAUUUCACAUGAUACGCCUAGAGCUAAAAAGUAAGAUUUAGUGCCUUUACUUCAGUACCUUUUUCUACUUUGUCUACUGUCAGUGUUUUAGUAAGAACAGGAUAAAGUUGGUUGUAAAGUUAAACAGUAGCAGCCUUCAACCAGCCAGCCAAGUUAGCCCACCGCCCCUCGAUGCCUCAGCACUGAAGAGCUGUAGUUAUCAAACUACAACUUUUAACUGAUUCAACAAGUAGACUUCUGUUAUCAGGAGUCUAGGGUUGACCUUACCAGCUUGCCAAUGUUUUGGAGACUAUUGGAGGCUUCUAACUAACAUUUCGGUGCUUUCUUUUCUCUUGCUUCCUCUUGUGAACUGUGUUCAUAACACUGUGUGUACUUGGCACAGUGUUUAAUGAGAGUUAGAGGAUUUGGAGGACAGAAACUCCCUUUGUCACAUCGUUGUUGGAUCCAGUUACUUGAUAGAUUAUAUACUUGCAGGCUUUGCAAUAAAAGUAGAUGACGUUGCAAUAUUUUGAUGUGUUUGUUCACCUAGAUUGUCUUUUUGGCUCGUAAACAAAUCUGUGGCUAUAACAUGCUCUGGGACAGUCGUGGGAAGGUGAUGAAGAAGCUAAGUUGCGUCUUUGGUAUAAGUCUUGUCCACCCUGAUAUGAAAGUUUGCCUAAAUUUCCUACAGAACAUUUAUGGAUGCUUAAACAAAAAACGGCUUGAUACAGAUUCUGAUAUGAUGUAUGGAUUAAAGCAGCUGUCACUUUUAAGAUGCGCCAGAGUCCCUCAGCGCAGUGCAUUCAAGCGCUGAUGGAUUACAGCACGACUAAGUAGAAUGCAUUUAUCAAUUUAAUUCAUUUGAUGUGUUUUUUGUUCUUUUUCAACCUUUAUUUUAGGGAUGUUCCCAGCGGUUAAUUUCACUGACGGUUAAACAACCAUUUUGAAACUGAAUAUUCGAAUACACGAAAAUUAAUGAACUCCCAGAAAAUAGCCCAAAUUGAGCACAUGUCGACCUAUAUGGCCAGAUAUCAUCUGAAAGAAAUAUUAAGAGUACAUGAAAGCCAUGCUUAUAAUAUUAAAAUAUGUUACAGAAUCUUAUUGUAGCGCUGGAGAAUGACAUAAAGUACGUGAAAGAUCAAAGCAAUUAAGCUCCGCUGCGCUCAAGCCAAGCAGCCCGCUGCGUCAUCGGCCUGCCUCACACCAUAAACACAAAAUGAAGAGUCUUCAGAGUCAGACAACUUAAAUCAAAAUACUCCAAAACUUUGCCCUUUUUUCUCACCGACAUCGCUCUGGCUGAUCACAUGUGCUGAUUCACUCUGAGGAAGUUAAUUCACGAUACCAUGCAUGACGCAGGCCAGUGCUGCAAGCCCAGAGCAGCGAGCCAAGCAGAAAGAGUCGAACGCAAAUGAUCCACAUAUUUUAGCUUGUUUAAUGCACACUUUUAUGAAGACAUGACGGUAAAAACAUAUUUUUUUUCGUUUUAAAAAGAGGCUUUUUUUUGCUUUUUGCUUUUUUCCCCCUCUUUUAAAAUUUAUUUUAUAGAAUAAACGAAUAUUAUUUACUAACCGGAUAGUAAGGACAGCCCCGUUUACACGAAUAUUCGAAUAACCACGCACAUCCUUACUUUAUUUACAGAUAGGGGACAGUGGAUAAAGCAGGAAACAGGGGAGAUCAUAGGGAAUGAUAUGCAGGAAAGAGGCCACCUGUGUAUGUGGGGCUAACCAAUACCACUGGGCUAUCGAUGCCCCAUAAACCAUAUUUUUAAGUAAAAAUUUGAUUUAACUUUAAUAAAAACCACAACAUUAAUAGUACAGCAAAACGAUGUCAGAAUGAUAUCCAAAAAAUAUUGUAAACCAACCACCAAAAGAUAAACUAUGCUGAUUUCUAUACACUGAAUCCAGCUGCUUCAGACUGCACUCCCAUCCCUUCUCAUUUGCUAUAAUCAUAAUAAAGCUGUUCUUUAUCCAUCAAACAUAUGUCUUUGUAUCAUAUGUCACACUGUGACAUCCUCCCUAUCCUUCCUGUCAUAUUACAUUUAAUAGACCUCAUAACGUAGCAUCACUCAUACUGUAUCGCAAGUAUUUCAUCAAAUCCUGUCUAAGCUUUAAAUUUUAGGGUUUGAGGCUUUUAUCAUGUUGCAGUCACAAGACCUUAGUGGACAACCAUUUUUCCAUGAACACUUUGGUCCCAGUCCUGCAUAUUAAUAAUUUUUUGAGUAUGUGAAACAUGUUCAAACAUGUGCUGGUUGACUAUCUGUAAUUUUGUUGAUCAUUUUUCACUGCAUUAUUCAUCAAACUGGUCUUGCCUUUGGUAAAACUCUCCCUCUUUUCACCUCGUCUCACUAAGUUGUUUUUGUUUGUAUAAUUGAUGAAACACUCUCCCACUGGAGAUUGCAUCUGGCCAUCAGGACUCAGUAUAUUCCCUUUAGUCUAUCACACCAUACGUCCCAUUAAGUUUCAAUCAUCACAGGAAUAGUAACAUUAAACCUCUUGGUAUUUUGUGGUCAGCACAAAGCCUUGAAUAUAAAAAGUGUAUGCAUCAUAAGGAUUGUAAUUUUUUUUACUACAAAACAUUCAUUUCCGCACAAAACCUUGUACCAUUAUAUUUGACAAAUACACUUGAACUUGAUUUGUUCUUUAUGUGCUUCUAGUUGCUAUGGUUACAGGGAUCUUAUGGCAGACAAUACUUACUUUACACACAGGGAAGGUUUUCAGGUUUGCUUCUAGUAAUAUCUCCUCCCUACUCUUAACUUUUGUGCAAACUAAAGAGCAAAGAGACACGUUUUAACACUCUCUUAUACACACACAUGCACACAUUGUGCUCUUCAAAUCAAGCAAUGUCGCCAUGGAAACUAGAGCCGAAUAAAGAGAUUGCCUUAAUCACUUGAAAGUCGUACAAACUCUGCUCUCAUCUGGCCAAAGACGUUCACUCUCCAGUAUGAUUUUUAAUUCAGUAUGUAAAAUAUGUGGAGCCAUUUAUUCUAUUACCAAGAGUAAUUCUCAGUGACAUGUGGGGCUGCGCUCCGAUAUGUUGUACUUGGGGUUAAUUAAAAGCGUAAUGGUCAAGUCUGUAUUUGUAAUAGAGCUGACAGGAGCUCAUAAUUCAUUCAGAUUGAUUAGAUAUUAAACCAGUGGUCUGUAUAAGUGGCAGUCAGACACGACUAUAUGGAACAAUUAUCCCUGAAUCAUUGCUGAUGUUGCCCAUUGCCCGUGCUCUCAUUGGGACGUGGAUAGAAAUCUAAGGACACCACAAGACCUUUUUACGAUAAUUCAUUGAAACAUUGAAAUCAACGAUACUUGUUGACAUAUCAAUUGAACAUGUUCAAAUACUUUGAAAUGACAUUUAAAUUUGAGCAGUUUGAAAAAUGACAUGAGCAUAUAUGUAUAAAACUUGAGACAGGGUUUUGACAAGGUGUUCAACUGCUUUGUUAAAUGUAUUACUUUUGAUGUGAAUAUGCCAAAUUCAGAAAUAAAAGCCAAACUUUUGAUAGACAUUAAAAAAAAUCAGUAAUAUCUUAUUUUGCACCAGUAUGCUGUUUUAUUUAAAUUAAAUCUGAACUUUUCGCAAAAUAACUCAUAUGAUGCCCCUAUUUAUAACUGUUCAUAUCAUCUGAUGUUGAUUCUGAGUACAACACGGUAAUUUCUUUAUCUAAAACUCUGUUUUCUGUAAGGUAUAAUAAUAAAUAGUGUAAUGAAAUAGUAAAAAAAUAAGACGCAAUUCCAUCAUACAUUAUCACAUGCUUCGGCUCGCAAAAGCAACCACUUGAGUUAUUAUACAGGCAGAUAUGGUGCUAUUCAGCAAAGUUAGUUUAAUCAUACAAGGUGAUUUAAAACAUGAUGUGGCAGCUAUCAGUUUCUUCACCAAACCUCAUUACACACCAGACUGAUUCCUCCUCCAGUUCAUAUUAUUAUCUGGUUUAUGAUUAGAUUUAAAAAUAUAUUACAGAAGAAAGCCAAAUAGUGACAUCCUUAGUGUCACCAUUAUGAAUUUUCUACCAUUGCAUGAAAGUGUGUGCAUCAGCAUUACCUCGAGUUGAAGCAUACAGUGGAUCUCUUAUGUUUGAGUUUUACAACAGAGCUAGCUGAUUGGAGCAAGCUGAAGACAUCUUUUAGUUAUCUCGGCAAAUACAAGUAUUGUAUUAAGACUCUGUAUUAGUUGACACUAUUUAAAAAAUCUUCUCGGGUUGAAAAAGCUGAUUGAAAUAUAUCUACUUCACACAUCCUGAAGUUUCUCUCUUCCUCUUGGCUCCAGGACCUUGAGUUUUAAAUGACAUGCAGAAUUCACUUUCAACUGAAAACAGGACUUUGAACCACGGAGCAACAGUCCAAUAGAUGCUUCUGACACUGUCUCUGGUUCAAUAGUGGCUUGAUGUUAGAAGGGCGACAGUUGAAGCAUCGUUCCUGAAGAUAUCUGUGCGCGGUGGCUCUUGAUACACCGACACCACCCUCAGUCAACUUUAUGAAUCUCCCAAGUUCUUGAACUGCCUUCUCCUCUCAAGGCUGUGAUCAUCCCUGUUGCUUGUACAUAUUAACCUCUUACGCUUUCCUUUCCAGUCAACUUUCCAUUGAAGUACUUUGAAACAGCACUCUACAGAAAGCCGUCUUAUUCAGCCUGACCGUUAGUGUCCUUCUGAUGCUUAUCCUCCAUGUAGAGGGUGUUGCUGAUCAACCUCUGGACAACUGUCAUGUCAGCAGUCUUACUCAUAGUUGUGGAUGUGUGAACUUCAUUAGACUGCAAGGAUACUCAGUAUUGACACUGCUUGAAUAGUAAUUCACUCAAACUUGAAAUGAAAUCUUGUAAUGCUUUGAGGUUUCAUCCCCUCUGAACAUGUUGAAAUCUUACUUCCUCCCAGCACUGAUGGAAAAAAAUUGAACUUUUUCAUUUUAUUUUAAUUCAUUGAGCCGAACCUGCAAAAAAUGCUACCAAACUUUUCUGGACUGAACAUUUCAACUUGAUCGGCAUGUGUGCUUGAUGCUGUGUUGCAGAAGCCCUUCAGUGGUUAGAUUUCCCAACAUCCUGAAGUGCAUCAGAACAGAUUGAUCCAACCUCUGUUCAACAAACAAACAAACAAACAUUUGGAAAGUUUUUUUUUUUUUCUUUCUCUCUCUUGAAGACAGACCCCACAAACCUUGACUUUUUAACUUUUUAUGAAUCUGUAUCAGGAUGUUGUUACUUCUUCAGAAAAUACUUUUUUUUAUUUAAGGGUCCAUAGUGCGUCUGUUUGCCUACUGUUGACCUGAGACCUGUUGGUAGUUGAGCAGCUGAAUAAGCAUUAAAUGGUAGCGAUAGAGGCUGGAAUUUGCUUUUGUAACUGUUGACUCUAUCAAAAUUCUUGAAAAGCUAACAUCCAUUCACAGAGGUUUAUAUCCCCUCCUGUAGUCGGAUAAUGAUUGCUGAUGAUUGCAGAUGGAUCAGAAGACUGAGGCUAUCUACUGAUAGUUCAGUUAGCCUUUUGAAGUAGUAUUGGAUUUUGCAAGAGUGGCAAGUUGAAUCACACCACAGCUGCACAUUUUCAGUUUGCAAUGUCACUAUCGAACGCUUUGAUCAUAGAUAUAAUUGUUUCAUCCCUGAGUAAGAACUUGAGAAAAUCAUCACUUGAUUUUAUUUCUCCAGAGUAUUGUUAUUUUACAAAUGGGAAGUUUGUCUCCCAUGAAAAUAUAACAAACGUGAUUUAUCGCUUUAUAAACCUGGAAAAAAGAAAAAAAAAGCCAGGAUUGAUGUGCCAGUUCCAUCUUUCUCUCUACCCUUCAGUAAAAGAACUACACAGGCUCUAUCUGUGUUUCCAUUCCUGUCCCCUGAGGCAGAGCUCUGAUGUGGAUGAACUAGAGAAUUAUCACUGUGAGGAAAGAUGGGCACCUGUCUACUGUAACUGGAUUUCAUGGCUUUUUUUCCCCCAUUCUGGUGGUAUGUACUGGAUCUGCAUUGAAAAGUGGAGCAAAUCUAAAAAUUUUCUUACAUGAGCUUGAUACAUCGGAACAGUGACACAUCACAUCACUAGCUUGACAUGAACCUAGAACCAAUAUAACAGAUUGGAAUGAGAUAGCACAACGGCUGAGAGAUCAUCCUGCAUGUUUUUACACUUUCUGCGACUUAAAUGCUAAUAGGUAGCUCAGAGCUGCACGCGUCCAUGAAACACAUCUUCCUCUUUGUUCCAAAGAUUUAGCUGUGGAGGCUGGCGUCCCUAUGCAGAGUGAUUUCCACUGGUACUGAGUCAUGACAAGCACAUCUCCAGUUAAAUCCUAUUUUGGUAAAAGCUAUCAUUUCGCUCCGUCCAAUCCCUGGAAUCAAAUAGAGAAACAUCAGUGAGAAAAAAAAAAAAAAACAUGAGCUUGCCCGGCUGAGCCUCAUGAACUCUGAUGUGGAAUUAUACCGAAGUGUCAGAAGUCAUUGAACUGGAAACAGGAAAGCUUCAAAAAGAGACGUUUUGCAUGAUUUUUCCAUCAGUAAGAAAUUCCCCUUUAGGGCUGGACAAAUGCAGGGACAGACAUGGUAGUUUGAGAGACUUCGAAACAGAAAGUGUCAUUCAAUCAAGAAGUGAAACACAUCUGCUGCACUCGAGCCGAGAGUGCUGAUAUCUGAAGAAGCAAAAGAGGAAACACUCCUGCCAAUUUGUGUCUCCUAUGAAUAAGAAAUUAAUAAAAAAUUAUGCAAAUAAACAAAUCCGUCUGUCUUCAUUUAGAGAGAGAUGAGAACAUCAGAGAAAAGAUGAAGAUCUGAUUUUCAGCUGAAAAGCUUCUUAUGGAAAGUCUUAAUGUAGUGAAUUAAUGAGCAGGGAUUAUAUGCUUUUCUGUCUUUUUUCUCUGCUCUCUGCUUAGUAAUUUAUUUUACUCUGCCAUACACAACAUUUCCACUGUUAAUAUCUCUACAUUGUCUUUUCUUUUACUAAAUCGUUUAUAUGCUGCAUUGAGUAAAUUAGAAAUCUUAUUUUUAAUGCAAUUUCAUGAUGGAUGACUUUCAACGACCAACAUAUUGAGAGUCUGACUGGCCCACGCAGAAAGACCGGGUUUAUACAGGUCAGUGACAGAUGGCGAAUGAAGUUUCUUCAAACAGUUCAAGACUGAGAGCCCAUCCAGACCAUCCAAGGGAAGCCGCAGUAUGUUGAAUAGAAUUUUUGUGACUUACAGAAAGAAGCAGUUGAAGGAGUGAUUGUGUAGGGAUAAGGGUUUGUGCCCAAACACACACACAUACACACAUACACACGCACAAGUACUUAGUUGAAGAGAAGGAGCAAGAAAGCGAGAGAGAGAGAAAGAGAGAGAGAGAGAAUAAAGUGGCAGUCUGGAGAAAAUAGAUAAAAAUGUAAAAGCAAAAACAAACUACUACUGUCAAGGUCAAACAUAGCAGAAAGCCUUCUAUCAACAGGAUGUAAUAACUGUUAUUUUUCUGCUAAGUUUAUCAUCACAAUGUCAAGAUAACAUGAUACUGUCAAGUGGUUUCCUCCACUCACGAUGCCAGUUCUCUCAAGGGAAAAUUAUUUACAGCAAAAUAUAAAAACAGUCAUGAAAAAAAAUAAUGCAAAAGACAAAGAGCACACAAGAAAACAUAAAGAGAAAACCUUUCAAUGGUCACUACCAGUUAGGUACCAAAAGCGUUAGGAAAUGAGCCUGAGAUAACGGUAUUAAAAAAAAAAAAACUGAACUUACUGAGUCAGAAUCCCUAAGAGAGAAAACAUGUCUAAAAAUAUAAUCCAGUCCCAGAGGCUUUUCAGAAGUCUGUCUAAAAGGCAGUUUGAAGAGUUAAGAAAUGUUUUAGGCGGAAAAGAAACGACUAAAAUGACUGAAAAAAACACAGUCUACUGACGUUUUUGUCUGCAUAUAGCAAAACAACCUUUGAAUAUGUAGGUCAUCAAGCAUAGCUCUUUUAUAACACACAGUUAAAUAUAUCUGUACAUUUUGGCGUAGCAAAGUUUUCUUUAUUUUCACCAUUUAUUUUCCCGAUAGUACCAUAUAGCUUUCCUUGGCCCUUGUGUGGUCACUAAAUGUCUUUUUCUUUCCUCUUGAUGUCACCUGAUCACUCUGUUUUUGAUGUCUUCCUACAAUCAUGGCCUCAGCCCCUGUAGAUUUUGCUGUUUUAUGCUAGCUCCUUGUGCUAAAAGAUUGAGGAAAGCGAGAAAGAGAAAGAGAGCAGUGAGGGAAUAAAAACAAGACUGUGAAUUAAAAAAAAAAGGAAGAAUAAAACGUUGAAUCUAUUUUCACAGCUGUUAAGUCCUGAAGAGCUGCAGGCACACCAGCAGCUCUGCAUAAACAUUAAGAGAAAUAAUUCGUUUGUCAGAAGCUGCUCUUCAUACUGUUCACUUUGCGUGUCUCUGCUCUGCUCUCUGUCAGACCCUCAACUCUCACUGGCGAUUUCCACCGCAUCUGGAACGGCUAUGAAAAGGCCAUAUUCGUUGAUGGUCGCUGAUCGUAACCAUUCAAGUCAAUGUGUCAGUUUCCACCAGCUUCUUUGGACGCCGGAGUAUGUUCUGGAGCAUUAUUCCCUGCUGGAAAGGAAGUCGGGCAUAGACACAAAGUGAAACAUCCGGCUUCUUUUGAAAUAAAAAAGUCAGUGUUUUAGGCGGAUAGUAUUUCACACCAUGCAAACAGGCGGGACGAACAAGUGAAAGACAGCAUUUCAUCCCGAUGACACCAUGGAUGAGAGGACUGCUUAUAUGGUUAGCCGCUAGUCCGCGGGUUCUUGUGAGUUUUCGCGAUUCCUGCUGUCCGUAAUCCACCACAAAAUUUGCCUCAAACAGAUCCAGUAGGAAUUGGCAUCGGAUCGGAGCAGUUCUGGACGCAGUGGAAAUCCGGGGUCACACGGUGAUUACACAAACAAACUGUUCAAAUUCAUUGGUGCACAAUCACAGAUGUUCUGUCAAGUCCAUUUGUCACCUUAUUGAAGUGUCCAAGUUACAUAUAUCUGUAAAAGCUAAGAUACCACGGUGUUUGGUAAAUGUCUAAAUCUGGACAAUGCCAAAUUUGCCACCAUCUAAAAAAACGUUAUCUGCAGUACAGGAGCUGUGUUCAAAUGUCCGUGGGUGGUAUUAUGCGUCCAUAUGGUCCUGUUUUAUAUGAAUCAAAUAUUUCAUAAGCAGCGAUGCAUGUUGUAGGGAAUACAGCAUAUCCUCUGUUGUCUCUUGCCAGUGGCAUUGGCAGAAAAAUGAUAAUGGAAGAGUAUUAACAGAAUAUUUUAAAAGAGAUGGAAAUUAUGCAAGCCUCCAGGCACACAUAUGAGGGCUCUGAUAUCUCCCAUGCUUCUCUAGUUUUACCCGUAAAUCCACUAUGUAGAGAUAAUUAAAACAGGUAAAUGACAAAUUUAAAUAUUACAUGUUUUGAGCACUAUGUGAUUAUAAUGGGCAUUCUUGUAAUAAAGAGUUUAACAUAUCCUGCAUUAGACCUAUUCAUCGCCGUUGAGACUCUUGAAUGUGCUGAAGAAAGAACACAUCCUGCUUUACAUCCUUAUCCUACAUACUAUAUGUUUGGCACGCUGCGAUGCCUUUCAGCAACUUGUAUCUGUAUGAAUUUAGAAAUGGAACUGUCUUGAGGUUAGUUCCCCAAACACUUUCUGUGUUGCCUCAAGCAGAGUUAAGUUUCACUGUCUUUUAGAGAGUAGCAGACAAAUAUAAUGAAAUAUAUUUUCUUUUGGCUUGCGGCCUCUCAACACACAGCCUUUAAAGAAUUUAUUUAGUUCAACAGGAGUCCAAUCAUCAAUAUGCAAUGAUGUGAAAAUAUCCUAUUAACCUGCUUGACUAAUAUUUUAAUAUAAACCUGGCAACUAUUAACCUGCACACAUUUGCAAUGCAGGCUGAGUUGCUUUUCUUUCCAAAAUUUAGUCAAAUCCAGUUUGCUGAGAAGGCUGUGAUAUCGCCUGGAGAAUGAAGUUAUCCAUCAACUCAACAAUUGGUUUGUUUUGAGAAGUAUGAGGCCAACAGCGCUGCCAGACUCAGGGAAAUAAAAGAGAAUCAGAUAUCAUAAUCCCACUUUUACAAUAUUUUAAGUUGUUUAAAGCCGGAGUGUUUCUCUAAACUUCUAUUACAUGCAGACACCUCAGUGGAAGAGCACCACGCAGGGCCUCCAGAGCACUCACCACAGGGUUUUAACAGCCUACGCUUUGAUGUGGGGCUAGAUGGGUAGAUGUAGAGAGAGGGAAAAAAAGGAAAGAGCAAGCGAGCAUUAAGUUCAAGGCCACGUUGGUUUGAAUUUACACUUUCAAGCUUAAGAACAGCCUUCCAGAGCUGAGAACACUGAAGAAAUGUCACAGGAGAUAAAAUCAUCGCAGUGAGAGUCCAAUCAUAGCAGAGGUCGUUUUCAUAAACCUUUUAAAUAUUGAUAUUCAGCAACCCAACUGUGAACACAAUGAAAACAAGAAAAGCCAAGCAUGCUGAAGUGAUCUGACGUUUAGAUGUUAAUUCACGGAUGGCAGAUGGAGGAGAAGUUUUCUUCUGUAGAAGACUUCGGCUAUGAAGAAGCUUUGCUGCUUCUGCUCUUCGUAUACAUAACUAAACAUGCUUUUAUAAUGCCACAACACAUAAAUGGUAAAAAUAAAUGGGUGGGAAGGCAGUGCAAGUUACUCUCACAAGUAGGGGUGUAACGAAAUAAAAUUCAAAGACGAACAAAAUACAAUAAAGUAAUCAAGAUUUGACCCUCUCGCUUGCCGUAGCAGCUUACAUGCUGCAGUGUUUACAGGAUGGAAGACAAUGUGGAGAUAGUAGAUGCUUCACCGUCUCAAGAAAAUGGUGAUAAGAUGGAGAACAGAACCAAGACUAACCACAAACUCUGUCGGUACAGUACAAACAUGACCUACCAUUCACAACACUAUCACAAAGUGUCUGUUCUAACAAAGAACAGUUAUCAAACAUCCAAACAACUCUCCAGAAGUCAUUCGCAGUAUCGCUUCUUCCCUCAAAUCGGUGAGAAUAAGAGGUGGCCCAUGACAUGAGACCGUUCUCAGUUGUUAAGGACGAGGGAUUUCAGAAGACCAAAGACCAUACCAUUCUUUCUUUGUGAAGCAAAACACUCCCACACACUGUCUCCAACUUUUGCAGUCAAAUUGUUUUUCAUCAACAAAAAUUCGUGACACAGAUCUUCACAGAUGUCUCUGCCUUCUGCCACGGCCACCCUAAUCCCACUUUUGGCUGGUGCCAAGUCCUGCUGGAAAAUUAAAUCAGCAUCUCCAUAAAGCUGGUCAGCAGAGGGAAGAAUGAAGUGCUCUAAAACUUCUUUGUAGAUAGCUUUGUAAUCUUGGACCUGAUAAAACACAGAGGACCAACACCAGCAGAUGACAUCGCUCCCAAAACCACCACUGACUGGGAAAACUUUACACAGACUCUGGGAUCUUGAUUUCCAAAAGAAAUGCAAAAUUUACUUUCAUCUGAAAAGAGGACUUUGGACCACUGAGCAAGAGUCCAGUCUUUUCUGUCCUGAGCCUUGUGUUGUUGUCCCUGGUUCAAGAGUGGCUUGACACAGGGAAUGGGACCGUUGAGGACCAUGCCCUGGAUCCAUCUGUCCAUGGUGACUCUAGCAGCAGUCCACUUCUUGUGAAUCUCCCCCAUAUUCUUGAAGGGGCUUUAUUCACAAUCAUCUCUUGAAAAAACUAUUUUACUAUUCAGUGAUCAUGGGGAUUUUACAACAUCCACCACGUGAACUACAGAAAUCAACAUUUGAAUUCCUCACUCUGCAAAAACUGAGAUAUUUGCUCCACUCACUCACGUUUGUAAUAAUAAGUCACUUGCAGCAGUAGGACAUGGCUUGCCAAGCUCCCCAGAGAGGAAAUAUGAGGAGGGUGAUUUUAUUUAACAGCUCAUUUAGCAUUCGUGUAUAGUACCUUUUGCCCAGGUUCCUAAUGGCCUGUAUCCCCCAGGAUUUGUCAGAAGAUGUAUGAAAAUGCAAAUAAUUCAGCAGGAAGUGCACCCAGCUCUCCCAGUGUGGUGACAGAUGUGUUGGAAUUGCAGUAAGGAUUCUGACUCAGGUGGGAGCCUUUUCCUGUUCUUUGGUGCAGAAAUGUUGGAGACGUGCCAUGUAAGGGGGGGGGGCGCGUAUACAAGGCUGCUCGAGCUUUGUCCCAACUCUGCCUCCGUGACAAGAACAUAAAUUAAACUUUAUAAAUAAUUAUCGCCAUUAUGUUGAAUUGACAUUGAUGGCAUUUUUAAUGCAAAGUUUACACUCCCAUUUUGCUUAUUCUGCUGUGACAGUAGUUUCAACUCUUUAUUUCCAUUAUGCCACAAAUAGUUUCUCUGAUUAUGAGGCACAGACAGGUUUUGGCAGGACAGGUUUUAAAGUGCUUUGCUUGUGUGUAUAAUGGCAUCUUAUUAAGCUGUCGACUUAUUUCAUUAAUACAGAGUAGUCAAAUGUGAAAUAAAAACAUUGCAAGUCGUGUUUAGCGUUUGCAUUUAGUGAUUGAAUUGGGUUUUAAUGACAGACAGAAAUACCUGCCAACUAUCACCCCAUUAUAUUCAACUUCAUAUGAUUUAAUACACAUAUAUUUUUACACAUGUAGCAACAACCAAAGGUAUUCACUGGAAUAGUCCACUUUGAAUAACAACACUUAACGUUCACACUUCUCUAAACUAUCAGAUAGAAGUUUAGUUCAUCAUCACAAGCUUCGUUUCAGUUUGCUCCCAUAUCGAUUUCUGCUCUCUCACCCACACAGAUCAUUCAGUGGUUUACUGAUUAUUGAUUAGAUAAAUGCUCCAACAGCUCAGUUAGUCUUCUCCAUCACUGUAUGUGAGGAAAUCACUGAAGCUGCUCUUUUUCUGAUGAUUUCACCUCAACUAUUACUGUACCAUGAAAAAGCUCCUGCAGACAAACCCUUCCUCAGACGGUAUACUACUGUACUUUUACAGCAUCACUACACUGUUUGGCAGUGUUUUAGGUAGAUUAUUAUAUACAUUCAUUGUGUUUGAACUGACUAAAUGUCCACUUAGGUAUAAGGCCAAAUCUGGUGUCCAAACUGUAAUACUGCAAACAGUGUGCAGAUCUAAAUCUUCAUUUUACAGCAGUAAAAUGUGUGUUUAUGCUGGAUUGCAAAACUCUUUACAGGGAAAUACAUCCAUUCCCAAACAAACAUGCAUAGACAGAAACAUCCAGCCACAUCCAUCCCAUUCAGUCAAUGAUUCACUGAACCCGAACAUGCAUCGCUCCUCUACUCUUUGCAUCCAAAGCAAUCCAUUUAAUUACAUCCCUCACUCCCUAAUCUCCCUCUUGUCAACUGACUGUGUAUUUGAAGGAGUAAAAGUCUAUGGCUAUGUGCCUGUAUAGUACUGGCACUGUUGGCUGCACACACACACAUAAAACGAGUGAGAGGAAACUUAGCCAAUCCCAUUAGGCUGAGCUCCUCCAGGGUAUCGCCCCCUAUCAGACAAUUAGUUACCAAAGGUUCCUAAUGAGUUUACCACAAUGUAUUACCUGGAACCAGCCCCUUCUAGUAGCCUAUCACAACCCCUGGCCAGAAAUAGAUAUAAUACAGACAACAACAGAUUUCUGUGGAAGGCUAAACUGAGGGGGAAAUAACUCAUGGUCUUAAACAGGAACUGAUUUAUCUGUAUCAGUGGUUGUUGGCUGGACCACAAGCUAAGCAAAAAGUGUUUCUUUUGUGUUGCAUCUUUGCUGAGGGUGAGCUCAUAGUUUCAAGGAUAAACUCCCAUUUUUGAAAAUCCCCUUUUGUCAGACCAGUAUAAUGCAGAAACUGUUGAAUCAUUACACAAAACAUAAUAGAAAGUAGUUGUUGUUUUCUAAUCAUCAACAAUUCACCUGUGGGUCAUGCCAGUAUGAUCUCUAUGACAACCUUAAAGCUGGAAUGUUGUGCUUAGUAAAAAAACAAACAAAAUAAAACAUAUUCUUGAUGUGUUGCUGUUUCCACACACCAAGCGGGAGUAAAAUCAUUCGCGCGAAUGAAUUACAUGUUAAGUCAAUGCAAAGACGCGAUAAGACGCUCCUACUACUCUGGCGGCGCAAAUGAUGCGAAUUGGGCGGGAGCUGAAAAUGUCUCAACUUUAGCAGAUAUUCAUGUCAUGAAAACUAAUAAGCACGAAGAUUGCCGGGUAACGUAUGAAAAUGAAAGUUUGUUCACUGGUACCUAAAAUUGAGGACAAACUGAUCGUGUCGGUGUGUGGGUGCCCCGAAUUAUUUCAUACCGUUAUUCAAUUACCGAAAACAGAAUAAGAAGGAGCUCGCCUGGAGGAAAGUAAGGGAAGUGAGUGAGGAGGUCGGGUUACCUGGCAAAUUGUAAAAAGCCUUUGUCUAUCACUUGAUCCCGCCGGCUGAUUGGCAGGGAUUACUGUUGAAAUUACUGUUGACGCACAAAUGAAGCAAGUAAAUACUAUUCAUUCACGUGUCUAGAUUCAUGUGAAUAAGGCGAGUAGAUGAUUUUACUCACGCUUGGUGUGAGCGCUCCAUUACACAUUAAUUAAAGCCUUUAUUUACUUGACAGAAAUAUUAAAACUGAAAAUGUUAUUCUUGUUAAAUUUGAUGCCAGCAGCAUAUUUCCUCCAAGCUGGCGCCGGGGGACAUUUACCAUUGUGUCUCUUGUUUUAACAACAAUUUAUAAACUUUUGAGCUGAAGCAGACUCAGGAUGGGAAUCGAAAACUAGUUCUAACAAAUUCAAGCCAUCUACAUAAUUUUCAGAGGGACGACAAUAAAGGAGUCAAGGAAGUAAUCGUAGCAGACAGACUCUAGAUUUAACUCAAGAAAUAAAACUAUAUGAUGUACCAAUAAUGGUAAAUUCUGACCUCGUGAGCUUGCCAGAAGUAAACUCUGCAAUGUCCAAGGGCUUUUCCGUCCCACAGAGCAGAUUGGUGUGUUUUCAGAGGUGGUUCCCUAGGAAAGCAAAGGUAAUCUGUGAUUGUUUUUGCUCCUUGCAGACUGCUGGGUAGAGGCUGCCAUCAGACUACUGAACACUUUCUUAAUGUUACCAUCAUUUGGAGUCAGUGAAGCCUUUGCCCAAGAAGUAUAAUCCAAUAUUGACGCCAAAUAAGCACUGAAUCCUCUUGAUUGUCUGAUGGUCUAUCUCUCCACUGCUACUCUGGGGUGGGUCCCCACCAGAUCCAGAUCCAGUUAAAGAUUUUAAUCCAAGCACAUUAUGCCCACAAAGAUUUACAGAUUACUAAUUCAAACCCUGCUCUACCAUGGCAGAGCAGGGUUUGAAUCCUUCUUUCUCGAGCAAGAAACCUCAGCAUAAAUGCUACCAGUGAUGGGAAGGCUCUUUCCAACUGAUCCAGAUCAUUUGGCUCAUUGAGAACCAGAUCUUUUGGCUUGGAAAUGGUUCUUGAAGUAGGUUUUUGGAAUCAAAGAGUCUUGUUCACUCUACUGAGAUGUUUUACUGUAUUCUAUAGGUGUCUGUACAAUAAAACAGCUGAAAAUAACAACAUUGCAGAGAUUUGUGUGAUAAAAUUCAAGUUGACUUUGGUAUCCUUGAUAGACUUUUAAAGUCUUUUACUUUUAGAGGUCAGCUCUUUUGGUUGUGCAACAUUCCUGACACCUCCAUGAACUUUUCACAUCUACUGAAGAAGCUGUUUUUCAGAUUUGAACAGGGACAAAGUCUGCUGAAAUUAUUACAGAAAGUGUCUUGCUUUUUACAACAAGAGAGGGUUGCAGGAGUCAGAUUUCAGUAAUUGCGUGAUCAGUGUGAAGCAAGUUCACCCGGAGCCAUGUGAAGAGGCUGAUGACUGACAGGAUAAUAGAGAAAGAGUCUAGUAUUAAAAUAUCUUAGCAAGAUAUCUAAAAAUACUGGACUUUAUCAGCUCUUUUUUCUGGUUAAGUGCUCAUUUGCUCUGGUGUUUUCUCUAGUUUAUUAACUGGUGGGAAAAUCGCCUUUCCCUGGCAUCCCCCACUAGGUGAGACACAGUUCAAAAAUGCAUAUUAAGAUUGGACUUAAGGUAAAUUAACACAGUAUGACUAAAAAUAUAUAAGUAGGGGCUCAGUACUUGUCUGUAUUACACAGGUUCCCACGGUUCUCACUUGCUGUCUUAUAAAGGAGAACUCGCUGUGGGAGGUUCAUUAAUCACUGAAGCUCAGCGUUGCUGUGGCAACACCAGGACACAAAAUCCUCUUUUGCUUUUAUACUGAGCCCACCUGGUCUGUUUUUAUAGCACUAAGGGUCAGCCUUUAGUAACACAAGGCAAAUGUUUUUUAUUGAUGCAGUGCUCAAAGGAUGAGCGGAGAUGGGCGAGUGUGUGUGUGUGUGAAGUUCAGGCUGUGCCUCAGGUUUGUGAGUUUAAACCUCUUUCUUCCUGCACAUCCUGGCAAAAUCCCCACUAAGAUAAACACCUUUCUUCUUGACAGAUACCACACAUUUCGUAUCGCACCUUCAGUUUUGUAAAGUGAGAGCUACAAAGGAGAGAUAAGCAGUGUGAUAGCCUUGAACAGCUCAUUUAGCAUUCAUGUAAAGGACAGCUCGCUCUGAAGUUCAGCUUCUCCAGGGACAGAAACAGAGCCCCCUAUGUACCUCUGGCAAACAGUUCUCCAUUUGAACGCAGCUCUGCUGGAAGUGCAGGGAUGUUUACGGGGGGAUUUUACCUCGCGGCACAGGCUGACAUGUAUGAACUGAUCAUCCCUCAUGUUUCCUUAUAUGGUUACAACACAGUCUAAACUGGCAACUUUCGGGUUUCAGUACAAAACGCUUACAGCUGUAAAAGAGUGUUCUAAAAAUAGCUCAUCUGUUUAGUUUUUUUUUUUCUUUUCCACUUGUUUUCUGGAGUGGGAGGACCUUAACUUUUCAGUUUCAACGCCCGAGCUUGGCCUCUGAGCUGGGCGCUUGCUCAACUUGAUCCGCCUUUUUCACUCCCUGUGCUUGCCAAUUUUCCUGACAAGUGAAGCAGAAUGCAGACGGAGACGGAGAAAAGGGGGGUUUGAGGCUGACGCAAAAGCAUGACAGCCCGUCCCUGCCCUUUGUAAUGGCUGUGCUCACCCUUUGAGCAUCCCCCCCAGACUCCCCCCUUCCCCUCCUCUAGUUUUCCUCCCCCUGAAGCCAGACUUACCAGAACAGGGUUUAUCAUCUGUGAUAAAGUACCCAUGGUCUGGGAGGAAUCAGUCCUGGAUGUUUAUUACAUUAGGUCAGUGCGUACUAAUGGAGGGACUCCUACAGACCAUGUCAUUGCCACGGGGCAGGAGGUUAAGAGUGGAUACAAAACAGAAGUACUCCUCUCUCAUCCGUCUUUCUCUCCCUCUGUUUCUCACAGACUUUAACACAACCUCACAGGAGAGGCGAUACUUGACUGGAAAGCCUUUUCCUGUCUGGAGCAUAUGCAGUUGUUUGACUAAAUACACUUUGAAAAUAAAAAUAUAUAUCUAGUGUUUUCAUCCUUUUUUGAAAACGUGCCUCAACUAAACUCCAUUUAUAACAGCAACAUGAAAUUGGACACUGUUUACAAGGGCGGUCAGUGUAUGAUACUGAUAGAGCCUCAUUACGGGAUGUUACGAAAAUCUAAACUCUAACAAACGAACUCCUCCAAGGGUGAGAAAAAUAACUCAGAAACCACAAAAAACUGGGCAGAAUUAAAGUUUUAAACUUUUAAAUAUCUUCUUAAGACAUGCAACAACUCAGUGUGAGUAGCGAUCUAUAAUAAAAAUGUCACACACACUGGAAGUCCUGAGAAGUGCAAAUGCUGACGGUUUAACCUGGAAUCAUUAGAUGUCAGUGAGUUGUGAAAAUUAUUAGUGCACACCAUGUUAGUGGACAUUCUGUACACAUACACUUCUAAAAACAAUACAAUACAAAAUCAUUAUUUAUCUCCAAAUGGAAAUUAAUUUAUCUGGAAUCUCAUGAAGGAUAGUUUAACUGUAAAUCCACUGAAGUGAAAGGAGAGGGUGAGAUGUUUGAAGUCUCCUGAUAUUAUUACGAGUGCCUCAGGAUGCUGAGAAUACAUGCAAACAAGUAUUGUUAUGAUAUGACUGAACUCCUUUAGAACAUAAUAUGUCCAAAGAGCAACUGUUAACGGUUCAAUAUCUGGACAACACAUCCUCUCCUUGAUGGUUAUGAGUGAAGAGUUACACCAAAUAAAGCCAGACCCCCUACUUUGUUUAGCAUCUCUGUCUGACCUCAUGAGAGUGACGCCAGGUAGAUCCACACUUGAUUUAACCAGGCUUCAGUCAAACACAAGAGACUGCACUCAUUGGAUGAAUGUUUUCUCAGUCUUCACCAAUACCUCCAGCUUCUCGCUUCAGAGAGUUGAGGCAUACCCAUGAUGACUGAUGAGAGAAAGGUCUUAUAUGUCCAUUAUUAUUAUUAUUAUCAUUAUUAUUAUUAUUAUUAUUAUUAUUAUUAUUAUUGCUCAGCCUAAUGGGAUUGGCUAAGUUUCCUCUUAGCCAAGUUUGAAUGGAAAAAGUCAUUUAAUUCCACAAUCAGUGUUCAUAUAGACUUUAAUAUUGUUUUGAAAUGCAAAAUAAAUGAAUUUUAAAGCAUGUGAUUCAAAGAAUGAUUGAUCAUUUUAUUGAUUGCAGUUUAAAAAAAAGGUAGACAGCUCUGACACGAUCCUGCAGCAUGUCCUACAAAUGAUAAAAGCACAGGAGGAAUUCAGAUCUGUAUUAUAAAAGGAGGAUUUUUCUUUUUGCAUCACUGACACCUUAUUUUAGACAAGACUGGGUACUCAAGAGGAGUUGAAAUGAUUUGCCAUUAAAGCUUUUGCAGAUAUGCAUAAAAAUGACAAGUGUUACCAUGGUUACAUUGUAAGAAGACAUUUGAGUGUCUCAGAUUUCUCACCUCAGUCACCUAUUUUUCUAUAGUACUGUAGAUAUAAGUGCAGCAUUCAAAGUUGGUCCACGAUUCUCCUCCGGGCCUCUAAUGAUGACUUUACUCUGACUUACGUUGUUCAGGUGUCUUCGAAAGCAUCAGCUGCCAAAUCACCUGAGGCCCACAAUUAGUGUCGAGCAGCUGCUAAGCUUUCUGUGCCACAACAAUUCACACUCUGUGGACACAGACUGUCAGUGCUGCAAGAUCAGCCACACAAAGAGACGAAGUCUGUCUUGUUUCCCCCCACUUUGUCAGUCUCCAACAUUAAGUCAUGGAUUUAUGAAUGCAAAGAGAGGAUACACCUUUAACGCCAUGACUUAUGCCAAGUGUGGGUCUUUGUUACUUAAAAAAGCCAAAUAUUGAGAGGAGUAUCAUUUGAUUUUCCCUGUCUGUCAGAGAAUGAGAGCACUUCUUCUAUUUUAACUGCUUGUCGAGCCCCUGGCCCACAGACAGAGAUUGUCUCAGCCAAGUCAAGUUGGUACAACAUCAGUGACAGAGGUGGCACAGUUAAUGAGAGACAUGAGGCAUGUGUGAUGUGAGUCAUAGAGUGCUGGUGUAUUCCCAUACUGUGCAAGGUGCACUGUGUUUUAAUGACUAUGGGGAAAGUUGGUGAAAGCCUGGACAGAUGGUUUCUCUAGAGGCUUUCUCUGUAAGGAGGAGCUGUCACAAGUGAAACCAGUUACAUUGAAUUAUCUUUUCUCCUCCAACAGCCUAAAAGUGGUCGGUCUUAAAUAACAUGAGUGGAUGGUUGAUGGACGUUUUGAAUUUAGAGAAAAAGAUAAUAGGGGUAAUUGUACUUCACCUUUACAUAGUUUGAGUGCACUUUAAAAAAAUCAUUUAAAUUUUUCUAAAGUUCUUAAAGUUCCAUUCUGAUCGUGUUGACUUUUCUCCCGCAGAGCUCCAGUAGCUCAUUAGCAAUUUGCCUCUGAGUUGUGGGUUGAGACAGCGCUGCUCAGCACAUUGGUCUUCAUAUUAGUUUGCAGCUUGACAUCGCCGGUGUAGUAGAAGUGGCAGAUAACAUAGCAGCUAUUCAGCUCUCGGACACUAAUGCCUUUAGGGACACAAUGAAAGUUAAUAUCAUGAUUAGCUUUCUUACAAGCAUUGCAAUCUGCUAAAGCAGGUCGCCAACCUUUUUUGUACCAGGGACCAGUUUCAUGCGGGAGACUUUUUCCAAGGACCGGGUAGGGGCGUGGAGGUUCCAACAAAGACCUUAAUCAGUACAUAGUUUGUACGUAAUCUGGAUAAAACAAUUACAUUCUGUAUUCGGCACUUUUCAUUACACUUUAACAUCAACUCACCAUCAUGCAGAAUCAACCCUUUCUCUCUCCAGUGAACUAGUGAACUCUUUCUGGCUCAUUUUUGCAAGGGCUAGCUUGUGUUGCUGAUGCAGGAAAAUUACGUGCUGAAGAGUCAAGCAUGAAAGUGAGGCGAUGGCGGUAGUGGUGGUCUUUCAAAAUAAGAUAGUGGGAGGAUGGAUGAAAAGAAAAAGAAUUAUUUAAUCAUCCUAAUUUUUUUUAUGGCCCGGUACUAAUUGAUCCAUGGGUAAUGGUCCGGGACCCCGUGGUUGGGGACCUCUGUACUAAAGCGUACGCUUGUUCCACGAUUAUCCUCUCUAGUUCUCAGUCUGGCCUGCAUAGUGGGGCUCAGGGGGCGGAGCUUGGAUUUGCUAUGUAAGAAAUCUCACUGUUUCUGAACCUGCCAUUUGGGUCUGUCAGAGAUUCUCAGCGAUUUGAACGUAAAAAUACUCAGAAAUGCAAUUUCGCUCUUAGUUUUCUCAUGAUAUGUCCUGUAGGCGAUAAUUUUUUUGUAGGAUGGUAGGGGAAAGUCCCGCCUCCUUCGCCUCUGAUUGGCUAGAAAAGCUGGAAACGUCAUCACAGGCUUAAAGCCAAACACGGCCUGUUGGCUCUGUACAUCAAAGAAAACUUAACAUAACAGUAUCGCACUUCUAAAUCUCCUAACCCUAACUCUAACCCUAACUCUAACCUGACAGUUGAUGACGUUUCACAGCCAUAAGGAAUAACACAACCAAAGCCCAUCACUUUUAGCCAAUCAGAGGCGAGGGAGGGUGGGACCUUCACCUACCAUCCUACAUAAAAAUUUGUUCGCAUCCUUUAGCAUCAGAAAAAUGCCAUAUGAACAUGUAGACAACAAGAAAAAACAUAAUUUUCAUCGGAGUGGGUCUUUAAGGGUAAUAUUUGUUUGAAGAAUCACAGUUAAACUUUAUUCAAGUGCCUAUUAACCUUUUUUUUGUCAGUGGAGUUUACAUUUCUGAAAUAUUAACAUCUACACUUGACUCCCAAAGUUAAGAUAACCAUUCCUACUAUCAAAAGAUUGCUUGUAUGUUUUGAUGCUAACGUCCGGCCUGGUUUGGUUGCACUAGUUCUGGAUGGCAAUACCAAUAAAGUCUGUUGAAAACAGCCAGCACAAUAGAAGUGACACCUUUCAAAGCAUGUUUGUAUUCUCCUGCAUCAAAAUAAGCCGCAUGAGCACAGUAAUAUCAAGCUUUGCAGGCUGGUCUGUCUUUCAUUUUUCUUUUUUUCUUUUACAUUUGGCUGAUUAACAUAAACAGCCGGCUUUUAUUGGAGGCGUCCACAGCGAGUGAAGCUCAACAAUUCAAACAUCAUUUUAAUUACUUGUCAUCACAGGAGAAGGUGACAAGCAGAACACUGUGGAUUCAGGCUUAAACUGAGCAUCCUGCUUCAUUCAGACUGAUGUUUGCAUAUAGUGAACAAAAUACUGCAAAGGAUUUAAUAUUCUGUAUGAAUAUAUAUGCUAACACAACAUCACAUGCCUACUGUGUUCUUGUACGCAUGGGUGAAGCCUUGAAACACAAACGCAGGGACAUAACUUUCAGUGACACCGUCUCACCUUAGACUUCGGGCAGGAUGUGUUGAAAGGAAAGCAUUUUCAGCUUGUGCUGUAUAACCACCCAGAUGGUGUUUCUGUAAGAAUCAGAGUUCACAUAAAUAAAGGUGUGGAAGUGACUCUAAAACAGAGCAGAUAAAGGAACACCAAAUGUGUUAUAUACUGUCUGCUGGUGAGAAAGCCUUCGUGGAAGUAGUGCAGGCACCUGCCUCAGUACCUCUCUUCUUCUCCGCCUGUGAAAAUGUUGUUUUUCUUUCGAGGGAGUGAAGGUGCAUAUCUGCUCAGAAAGAGAAACAUGUUGCUACUGUACCAAAACAAACAGGAUAAAUCUCACCAGCAGAGGCAGCGGUGCAGAGACAAGCCUGACAACAGCCGCAGGGCCCAGCGACUACUGCACUCUGCCUAAUCAAGCAGCCUUUUGAAAAUGUUGUCACUUUUAUCCCAGGAAAGAGGAGGGUAAGAGAAGGUUUUCAGGUUGCAUGGAAAACAACAGCAAGACAAAAGCAGAGUGGGUAGAAGAUUUCCCCUUGAAGUAGAUGUCCUUCAGGUGAUGUGCAGAGACUGUAGCAAAAUAAAAUACAGCUAAGCAGAGUGUGUAGGAAGAAGUGGUACAGGCCUGUCUUACAGAAUAAUGGACUCAUCUGAGCUAGGCUUUCUUAAAGUUUUGGGUGGCUUCAAGUUUCUUCAAGGGGAUAUGCAUGAGGAUAAUGUAAUAGCAGUGUAAUUGUGAAGCAUUUUGGGAGUUUUUGCAGAAGAAAAAUCCCAUAGAUUACUCUGAUUUGUUGCUGUGCACUGGUUUAAGUAGUUGGAUCAGACAAGUAUGUGGAGGAGGAAAUCAAAAGGGUGAAAUGGGGGGAGUUCCACUUAAAGGAUGUAUGAUGUAUAGGCUUAACUUAAAAUAGCCAAGCCUGUUGAAGAGUGCCAUUGUGAUUCAAAGGCUUCUUAUAUUUGCCACAUCGAGAUUUAAAGGGAGGCAGAACAGCCAAAAUAGCUGCAGUAGUAUUAUUACAUUCUUUCAAGAAAACAUGUUGCCUGGUUUCAUGAAAGAAUGGGACCACCACACACUUGUUCUUGCCAGCUGUCAAAGAUAAAAUGUCAUGUGUGAUUGGAGACACAUUGUGGAGGGGGGAAAAUAGUGGCAAACUGAAGAACAUUUCUGUCACAGUGAUAUUUUUUUGUCCUUCCAGAACAACAGCUGAAGACAUCUCUCAGUUAAUUAACUUUUUUGUGAGGCUCGUUGAAACGGUCCGAAAAACACUGAGCGGGAAUGAGCUGUAAACGGACAAAAGGAACGAUUUGGCAUAAGAGCUUAUGGCUCAAUUCAAGGAAGUCUGUCCAUCGACUCUCUUACAUACCCGUGUUCAGUGAAGCCUUCACAACCAAAACAUGCCUGAAGAUGCACUUAACAUGCUCAAACACACGCUGUAAAACUAACGAACUUCAUUAAAGAGAAUCCUCUGGAUUCAAGGUUGUUCACUAUGCAAUAAAGACAAAACAUGGCUGCUGCUCAGUGGAAAGCACUGGCUGUUAUGGGUAAAGUGUUGAUAAGGCAGUUAUUAUCUGCAUAAUCAGGGCUCUCUGCAGAUAGGAGCAUACCUGAAUGCAAGGUAAGAGCACUCAGUGUUAGCUUGUUUAACACACAGCAAAGGGAAAGGACUGAUUAAAGAAACACUAGAAUUAUGAGGUUGUUAAGACUACAUUCCUGCACUUCCUAAGUAUCCAAUACUUUGAGGCAAAUGACGCCACAGGGGAACUUGUCAAAAGUGUAUCAAAGAAAUGAACACUCAAACCGAUUGGCUGAGCAUCUAUAUGGACAAUCUCAGAUAUAGAUUUGCCUCUUGUUUAAAGCUCUCCGUCCCACAGCUGUCAUUUCAGUCGCACUUGAUUGACCUGGCAUCUGAUGGAGAAGUACAGUUCCCGUUCAAACAAAAGGCACUUAUGGAUUUUUGGAUCCAGACUGUGACAGAAUACCAAGUCCGUGCCGGUCCCUUUGCUCUGGCUGUGAUGUAGAUCAAAUCUUGCUGUACUCUAGAUGCUGCUGGGUGACAUAAUGGAGCUUUGUGAAAACAUGCAGGACAACCAAGUGCAGUUAGAAGGACCUAUCUCACUCAAUUUAAAGGGAUAUUCCGUUGUAAAAUUAAGUUAGGGUCAAACACACCCUAACAUUAUUAUUAGACACUCCCUUGAGAGAUAAAUGUUGCCGACUGCUUGCUUCUCUAGUUCUACCAACUUCGUAACGACCGCACGAUAGCAAUACACAGCGGUCCCAGGAGCCACGUGCUCAAUCAAAACGCCACUCUAUAGCAACAAAUAAUGCUCAAAACAGCACCUAAUUUCAUCAACUGUACAUAUAGGGUCCUAGCCAUAGCACUAGCCACCGAACAUCUUUUUAGCUUUGCUGAUUUCUUUAGCAAAGAGACUAAACACAACUCACCGUCUCUCUUCCAGCAGCCGCUUGUUUGCACGGAGACCUUCGGUCUUUGACUGCAGCGGGGUGACGUAGCUCAAGGAAGAACAUUUAUGAUCACUACUUUAUCAUUUCUGUGAAGUAAUAAUCAUCAUAUUAAUCAUUUUGCACUGCAGACACGGUAGUUUUUCUGCCUUAGCGUCUCAGUCUGAUCGCAUUUCCAUGAAGAAAUGAUCAUAAAUGUUCUUCCUUGAGCUGCGUCCCCCCGCUGCAGUAGAUGGACUCAGUCUCCGUACAAACAAACAGCUGCUGGAGAGAGACAGUGAGUUGUGUUUAGUCUCUUUGCUAAAGUCAGGCAAAGCUAAAAAGAUGUCCCAACUCGGUGUUAUGGGGUAACUCUGUGUUACGAUGUUUGACCCUAACUUAAUUUAACGCCGGAAUAUCCCUUUAAUUUGGCAUUAUAUCAGCCUGGGACACCUUUGUAGUAAACCUUUUUUUUACACUGCUGUCUAUGAAAACCCUUGACAACGGGGAAGUUAUGCUUUGGCAGAAAAUAUUAGAGGAUAUCUGUUGGUGCCUACUCAGCUCCCCAUUUAGCCUUGUUAGCACCGGUUAGCCAUUGUUCAGUAACAGCCGAGACCCAAAUUCACCUUGAUCUGGACUCUGUCUACAAAGGAGCACAAACAACUGUUGUCAAAAAAAAUUUAGAGUUUUCUGAAGCCUUCAUCUUUCCCUCAGACUGCAUAUAAGAAACUCUGAGACACAAUUAUCGAACAAAAUGCAGAGUAGAUGUGGAGCUACCAGCGGGGCAUGUCAUUUAACAAUGUCCGGAAAGGACAGCAGAGCCUUACAUCAAGUUCAGAACAAAUUUUGUUUUCAAAGUUGUCAAAACAAGCCAUUCAGGGAAUCUGGAAACAGGCUUGGAGAUUCCACCCAUGUCUGUACUGUGUAUCUCAUUAUGAAAGGUGUCCAGGUCCGUUACAUGCAUGUAUUACAAUACAAACCAGCAUAAUAGGUCUCAUUUAAAGCAAUAAGAGUAAAAUUGUCAGGAGUAUUUCUCAAUGCACAGAGGAUUGCGCUCAAUAGAUGGUAGUUGGCAUGUCUCUUGUACUAAUGCCACCAGAUUAUCAGGCUUACUCUUCCUUCACUCUCUCACUCUCCCUCUCUCUUGUUGUGACAAAGCAACGCAUUCUGCACUUCACUUCCUUGAAUCAAUCUUCUCUCAAUAUCUUCCAUACACUGUCAUGGGCGCUCUGAUUACUGUAACGGUUAUGUAUGGUUGAUUCCAAUAUAAACCUAAUGUGAAUGAUGGAGUAUGACAGGGUUUUCAGCCAUCUUCUUCCAUGAUGUGCAUAUCUGCUUCUAAACCCCUGUGUGUGUCCUUAUAUAACUUUUUUACUUUGUGUUUAAAAAGUUAUUGGCCUAAUUUUGUUGCAGUGUAGUUUCAGUGUCAGUGGCGUAUUAAAAAAUUGUCAGUAUCUCUGUGAAAUAUUUUGUUUAUGCUACCAUAAGUUGAGGUUUGGGGUAGUGGGGAAUAGAAGUUGGAUGUGAACUCAAAGAGCCUUUGCACAUAUUUAAAGUUAAUGUUGAACUUUAGGCAGGGUUAUGUAGAAUGACAGAAAAUUUACUUUGUUUUUGAAGAGACUGGCUCUUAACCCCUUUAAUUCACUGUGCAAUAUUGAAUUUAGUAAGCCAGCUGCAAGCACUCGAUUUGAUUCAAACUUGGGUGGUCAAACAUCGUCUUAAAUCUUACAUGGCUUUUGUUCGCUGAACAAUACCAUACCAUACAUUCAUUAUUUCUUUUAGAUCAAAGCGGAACAAUUUAUGAUCACAGUCAAACAUCCGUUCCUUUGAAGCAUCCUCUUUGUAAACAUGAGAAAAUGAUGAACCUUUAAGCCACACAAAAGAAAUAAUCAUCUUCAGUUUGGGAAAAAUAUUUUACCAUUAAUGUCUCUUAAAAACAUGCAACCAUUCUGAGAGGGUCAGGACAGGAAACUGAAUACCAGACUCAGCACUCAGUUUGACUUGAUGAAGACCAGCAUCCAUAAAUACACUUUAAAGUCUGGUUGAAAGAAAUCGAAAUACAGAAUAUUUGAAAAAUACCCUGUCCUUGGUGGACAAAUAUAAAACCUCUAUGUUUGUGUAGUACAUCCACCUACCAGGCAAUCAUACAUCAAUCUAAAUGUAAAACAUAUGGCAACUAUUACUAUUUUUUACUAUUAAAGAGCUGAAUUAAUGAAGUUCUUUUGUCAGGCUUUUAUUUAUGCAGAGCUUCAUUCAGUCUGCGUUUUUCCUAUUUUUUGAAGACGAGAAGGUAGUGUAGCAGCGGGAAUAAGUGACCUUCUACUUCUAUUUUUUUCCCUUUAUCAGGCUAAGGGCCUCAUAAUUACUGGUCUUAACAGCCACAGCAUUUCAGUGAUUCUCUCAGGAAUAAAGCAACUCAAGGUUCAAGGUUAAGAAUUCUUUACAAAUAAUUACAUUAAAACCAUUUCUAUGAAAAGUGUUCUCCCUGAUUACAAUAGAAAGGCGGAAAAUUUAUGGACAUAUUUAAACAACCCACCAAGAGAAGGAAUUUUGGCAGAAUGUUCAGGGUCAGACCGUGCAUUUGAUUAAACUUAAGAUGUAUGCUUAUAGUGCAGCUCUAAUGUCUGCUCUAAGUCUGAAAAAAUAAGAUCAUCCUGUAUUUGGGAUCUGGACCUGAAAUUUGAAAAUUCAUUCCCAACAGUUGACACGCUACUUGUCUCAAAGUGUGGUUUCUUUCAUGACUGAGGCCAGCAAUCACUCACAACCAAGGAUGGAAGAUGGAGCGAUACAGUGAUUGUUACAAACUGGCCAGCUCAAAAUUGGGCCAAGUUUUUUUUUAAUUAUAGUUGAAUUAUGGUGCUGAUUUUAUUCCGAGUGAUAAGAUAGUAAAGUACUGACAAGCAGCCAAGAAAAAUAGAGUCACCUAGUGUAAUGUCCCAAAAAAUUGUGCGCCCAAAAUGCCAGUAAUCACAGAAAACUGGCCCUUAAUGCAGCUGCUUCCAAGAAAGCAACAGGAGCAUGUGAGUCUAAUACAGAACAUGGAUUGAAGGUAUGCACAUUACCAGAGCUGAAAGCGUGGGAGAGCUCCUUAUGCUUAGUUGGCAAUAAGCUUAAUGUUUUUUUUUCCCCCAUUUGAGAUAUUAGUGGUAAAUUCCAGUGCUGCUGUGCUUCAUUUUUGUCCUUUAAUUCAAUGGAAUAAGAUUUGUUCAUGAAGCAGUACUUUUCCACAACUUAAUCUUAAAAUAGAAACAGAGGUUUUCUAGUGAUGAGGGUCAUUGUCAUACUCAGACAUCAUUUUUAUCACAGUAUUUCCUGGUUUUCUAUGAUUUUUUUUUUUAAGCUAAGGUGUAAAUGAAAGAAAAGCCUACUUUCUCUGGUGUUGUCCAUAUUGCAUUUUAUGAACCAAUAAAUCAAAAAAUUUUUUAUUAUUACUCAAAAUCAAAUUUGAAGAAUAGGCACUUGAAAUUGUAAAGCAGGUUUUGAUUGUCCUCUUUGAAAUACCAUUUACAGUGAUGCGACAUCAGUUCACCAUGGCAACAGCAGCAACAGUGUUUCAGCGAAAACUCGCUAAUGCUAAUACCCGCCCUGCGCUGCAGUGCCUGCGUGUGCCGUAUACACUGAUGCACAGCCUACUGAGUCUGAAGUAGCGCCAUGUAAGAAAACCCCCUUUUUUUUCAGGGUGUGGCAGCUUUUAUUUAACCAUGGCGGUGCGCCACGAUCAAUUCCAUUUAGGAGAAACCCUGAGAAAGGUUAAACUUUUUUCAACAAGCAGAAAUCUGAAACAGAUUACUUUAACUGGGUGCCACAGAUGGCUGUCUCCCAAAGAAGUUUCACUCUGAACAAAGGCCUGGCCAAGAGUCGAGAAGCAAGUUUGACUGAUUGGUACAGUCUAUGUAGGACACAGUCAUAUACCAACUAAUUAUCGUGUUGUCAUGGCAGCAGGAGGGACGACACUUGAUAGGGUGGAUGACUUUGUUUGAUGAGUUUUGUUUUGUAGGGAUUGCAACAGCCUGAGAAAGAAAGACACUACUUUAAACCACAUGGACCUCCAAUUCAGAGCCAAUCCUUUCAAAUUCUGAAUCAAGAGAAGUAAUCCAGGUCUUGAAUCAUAACACAGGCCAUCAACUUUAUGAAAUGCUGUAAAAGUAAGCGUAAGUAGCACAUCAACCUUUAGGUCUGUCGUUCCAAAGUACAUUUCACAGGCACGCCUCGGUGUAAAACAUUUACUGAAAACAUGCUGCAUUAAAAGAUCGUUUAGGGAACGAUUUAGUCCCAGGAAAGUAUUUGAAACCAAUGCCUGAUGUACUGUAGGGUCAGUUAAGUAGAUCAUUGAUAUUGUAUAUUUCUCUUCAUUCCCCCACUUCCUUUUGGUAACGUGUCCUUGUGCGAAAUGGAAAGAAAAUUACUUUAAAUAGCCAUUAGCCGUCAUCGCAAUCAGCUAGUAAGUAAUCCAAAGGAAACACUUCUGUUGAAAUAACAGGGACUUUGAGAGAAAGUCUGACAUGUGUAGAUGUGUUUUCCAAAUCUGAGGACUUAAUGGAGGCCAUGUUUUUAGGUCCUGGCCUCUAGUCUCUGCAGUAUCAACUCCUUCAUCAGCACAGGCAGACUGAAGGAGAGACCGGUGAACCUUGUGUGCCUCUCCUCCCAAAUCCUUCAAUCUCAGCAGCAAGCUUUCCAAAGUCAAAUCAAACAAUGUUCAAAUUUAGUCUCUCCACCCUCCAGCUGGAAGAAAGUUGACUUUUCUUCUUUCUCAUCCAGGCAAAAAGUAGAGUAACAAACUGGCUGUAAAAAUAAAAAUAAGGUUCGUGUAAGGAGAUGAAAGGAAAACUUUGCAACAUCUGGCAAGCAGGCGCUGGCAGGUUAAGGUAAACAGAGGUGUCCUUUUAUGGUAGUGCGCCUACCCUCCGCAGAAUCAGAGGUAUGAUGUGGAACACCUUCAAAGGAGCGAGGGGCCAGCACAUCUUGUUUCAAUUUAUCCUCUCACUGAAAGACAUGCUCUGUGGCCAUAAUAUACUCCCACAAAGAGGAUACUCGGCAUACGCUUGUACUAUCUCACGUUAAUAGCGAGCUGUCCUUGGUUAUGGGCACAUUCUCAGACACAAAAGCUUUUGUCAAAAUAUGCAUCUCAUAUCGCACAGGCUCAAACUCAGACACCCAGAUAUUCAGAGUCUCGCAUUUUUCCUGUGACCUUCUGUGAAACCAGGGCGGGGGUAGAUUAAUUAGUUCACAGCCAGCCCUGAAAAGUAGCCGCGUGCCAGACCUGCAUGUCAGCCUGUACAACAUCUGGCAGCGGGCAUCUGGUGCCAUACAUCAAACUAGCUCCACGCCCCACACACUCAAUGCUGGCCUGAUCAAACUAACUUCUAGAGCUAACAUUUGCUUUACAGGGUGAGAAGGGGAUUGCAAGGUCCAGAGGCAGGACAGGUUCUUGUACCUGUUUUUUAAAGGUCAUGCCAGUCUAAGAUGUGAGAUUGAACCUUUUUUAGGGUUGGGUAAAAGAAAAAAGAAACAAACAGUGCAGAGGAAAUCACAGCCAUCCAUUUAUUUUCCUGUUUGCUACCAAUUCCACCUUACCUCUCAGCCCUCACACUCCCAGCUGCUCCACGUGCCCCCCUUUUGCCAAAGCCUUUGAUGUGACGAGCCGAAAUGUCACGAACCUACAAGCGCUCCAACCGCUUAGAAAGCUCUAAUGAACAGGAUAAAAACACAACCCCUGAAUCAAUGAGCGGGCGGCAGCAGCCCUGUAGCUGUCACACUGAUAUCAGAGUGGGGUCUGCCCUCCAUGCUGAAGCUGCAGGAGAAAAACAGACAUCCCGGUGAUAAUAGGCAGCAGACUUUAGGGCUGUUAAAAUGGGUCACUUAACGGUGCACGUAUCUGUGGAGCCCUCUCAAUAUUUCUUCCUCUCCCUGUCUGUUUCCUUCUUUCUUCCUCGCUCCUCACCCUAUUUUUCUUUAAAACUGACCCUCCAGCAGAGUCCUGACUUUUGAUAACGUUAACUACAUUCCUCCCCGGUGAAACCACUGCUGGUUAUAUAGGGCAUUGUCAGACUGCCAGUGUUCACGGUCAUAAAGCAGCAUGGCAGGCCUCUUUUUGAAUAGAGACGCCUACCCGUCUACUUUAACUCUUUUAUUAUCUUGUUUCAUUGAGUUUUGACUCUCUUGUUCGGUAAUGAGAGAAAGGCGUUUUUUUUUUACCUUAACCGCCUCUCCCUCUGUGCACGGUGCCAUAGUCAGCAGUGGAGUAUAAUUGAAUGAUUUUGCAAGGGAUCAAUGAGAUUAGGGAUUGUGUUUAUUCCUCUGUCGCUCUGGAUUAGAGGUCCUUUUAUAUCUGCCUGGAGGAAUAGCAGAUACAGUCCACACUCCAAACACAAACACACACACAAAGCAGAAAAACGUGCUGACAGGAUAGGGAGACGUUAAGACUGUUACUGUGAGGUGUUGAGGCUGUAAAUGAGCUUAACGAACAGCAAGGUGUUUUUGAAUCACUGUAAAUGAUGUGUUAUCCUCCUGCUUGUUGAAAGAAAUACGCACCUGCUUCCUUAUGCGUCUAUAGAUACGUAGUUGUCUGUUUUUUUGUACCUUUGAAUGCAUGUUUUAGCCUUCCCUUUGGUAGCAGAGCGGCUUCAGAUGAGAUUGCUGAGGGGGAUUUUUUUUUUUUUUUUUUUUUUCCCAUAGUCUGUUCCAAAAGUGGGGGAAGGCUCAGACGAGAUGUUUGUAAUGUAGGCACAGCCUGCAGGCCUGCCUCUCCGUUUUUAUACGGGUAAAAGGAGAGUUUGCUAUUAUUAACCUCGCUACGAUUCCGUCCUUCCACCAAUCCAGCAGUAAUCCUAAUAAUCCAAGCUUGUGCUCCCAUCCCUCAGUAAUAAGUGCCAGAUGCUGAUAGUACAGAUAAACAGCAAACCUGUGUUUUUAUCCAAGAAAAACAAAGCAGAGGGGCCCGCUGGAAUCCACACGCUGUGAUGAAAGAAUGUGAAAACAGUGGUACACAUAAGGAGAGAAAAUCUCUCAUCAACCCGAGAGCCUCAUGCAAAACCACUCCUCUGAACAGGUCCAUGCUUAAGUGGAUCAUGAAACGCUUUAAAUGAAUUUGUGGUAUUCACCCAUUUUCCUGUACUUAGAAUUUCCUUUUCGGUAAAUGAAAUUUCCAAGUAGUGAAGACUCCUCGAAUGAGCCAUGUUCAGGGACUAAGCCUUUCUGGAUCCCAUGGGAAAAACUCUCAGAAAUCAAAACUAAAAUACCCAUAAGGCUAUUGAAUUCGCUAUGAAUGAAGGACCGAAUUUAAUUACGAUAGAGAAAAUUCUUGAAAUUAAUUCAAUGCAAAUUUAGCACAAUAUUAACACGGACAUGGCUCAUCAGUCUACAGAGAAUCACAAAAACAUGUUAUCCCUCACUCUGCUUUACCUUGAUUGCACUUCAACAUCAUCUUUAUUAUUGUUACCAUGGCAUCAAUGCUCCGCUGCACUAAAUGAAAUACAGAGCAUGCUGUUUCCCUGACCUUUACAAAGAGCUCUUUUUGGUACCUUUUAUGUGACUUUUUCAAAAGCCCAAUAGGGACAUAAAAACAGAAAAUUGUCCAGUGUUUUUUCUAAAAGGGUAGAGAAAAGAGCUUGUCUUUGAGGUUUAUUUUUUGAGGGUUACCUUUAACUAGUGAAAUCAAUUUGGUGAGUCCAGCUGAUAAGAAAUAAUCACUGAGAAAAUGUCAAGGAGGUUACUCAGGAUAAUUUAAAGAAGUAUUAAAGUCUGUUGUCUUAGAGUUUAAUAGCAAAACUACGCAAACUUUCAACAUUGAGAUUUUUAUAACAAAUGUUGAAAAUGUGAGGGACCCUACACAAAAACAAUUAACAAUGGAUUUGACAGUUUUGCACCUGCAGUGUGCGUGGAAAGCAACGAUUAGCCAACAAUAGCCAACCAUUCACCAACAACAUGAGUCCCCACUGUCAAAACUUGAAACUUUGCAAAAUCUUGUGCGGUCAAACAUUACUUUUAAAUUGUUCACUAAAACAUUGUUGAAACAUGUUAGCAAGAGGCUAACGGUGUACGUCAAACGUUGAACUCACCAUCACUUUAAAGGUGGCGUAGGCAGGAUUAUGUUAAAGACGCAUCUUUUUUUGUGGUAUAUAUACAAAAAAAGCUUUUAAUGUCAGUCAAUAGCUAAUAGUUAUUGAUGAAAUUUGGUAAUAUGAGAAUAUCACUGUGUUUAGUUAAUUAGCGCACUCUUUCUGAAUGUAAACAAAGCCAUUCUCCGCCUCCCCCAACCUGAUUGGUUGUAAGGCAGACGCUGCUCUCUCUUGUUGUAAGGCACGCCCCACGUCCUCCAAUAUCGUGCGCGAGCCCAAACGAAGUUAGCGUGCUACAAUAUCAGACAGUAGAAACCAACCAGAAAGUACAGAAAACGCAAGCAAUAAAAACAAGUAAAAACCAGAGAUUCUGGCAGAAUAACGGGCGAUUAAAACGGAGGCAGACCGGACAAGGGCCCAAAAGCCGGGUCAACGUCAGCAUUAAUGAUGGGGUACGCUUCGGGAUAUUAUGGACCCUGUAACCUCUCUGCCGGACAGGUAAACCGCUUUAACAAAGUAAGCUAAGUGCCUGUAACAGCAGUGUUUCUUGUCAAACGGGAUCUGCUGUGUGUUGUAGCGCUGCUAAACUGUUUACCUCGGGUCCUGGACUAUGUCACUUUAUCCUAGUUGUAGAAGUCCUACAAACAUUGUGUUUGCUGGUAGUCUGUUGGCAUCUACAGUAGCACCAAUUCAUUUUAUCUUCACGUUGACUGGGCCCCAUUUGUUAUUAUCUGUAGUAUUUAUCUGCAUUAUAUCUGAAUUUUAUUGAAAUGUUACGAUCAAGGACGAGCGUCUGUUUGUGGGCGGGGCUUGCUGGAGCAGAGGGAGGGGAGAGGCGGAGCUGAGGGGAAAACUUGUUGGAGGGGUAGUGUUUACAUACAAGAUUUCUCCCAAAAACUGGCCCUUCCUCAGAUCCUGCCUACUCCACCUUUUAACAGCUCAGCACCAUUUUUUCAUUUGAUAGGUACGUUUUAUUAUGUCCUGCUGGGUUUUGUUUACUACCUGGCUUCCCAGCAACACAUUUAUACUAUUCUGCUUCUGACCUAAAGCUGCAUUCACACCCAAAACCCUCUUGGUAAACAAAGAGCGUUGCAUUAAAUCAACAGUCAAGCUGCUCAAACUGAUCUCUUUGGAUGUUAUGAAACUUCACAAAUGCUUCCAUUUUCCUGCUGAGGCAGGACAGGGAUACAUUGUGCAUAAAAAGAAAGAAAAAAAAAACAAGAUCCAGUGGUUUUAUCUGUCCACCUACAAAGAAUUAGUCGGUAUAUGUUCUGGAUGAGCACGAGUUCACGCUCUGCUUUGAACGGAGGUGAGAGGAAUUAUUUGAAUUCCACGGCAAAGUCAUUUUUCCCUUUUGAAUACAGAUGUGAAAGAUACCUAUAGAAAUGUGGUGAUUGGUACAUUUGUAAAGGAUUACAACCUAGUGACACUACACAAUCCCCGACUAAUCAAAUAUUUCCCUGAACUACCACUUAUCGUGAGCGCUGCAGUGGAUGUUUCUGAAUAGUUUCUUUUGUCACUCCUCACUGUGAUUCAUUUCCAUUGGUGGGUGACUCUGCCUGGCCCGGUCGUGGGAAUGCUUUGUUUCCUUCAUUCAUUUUAGUUGGAGAAUAAGCUGGCCUUGACUAAUGCUUUGACACAAUACCUCACCUUGAAGGCUUUUUACAUGGAAACUAUUCAAUGAUUUAUUUUUUUUAUUGUUAUCGGUUAGGAAUACCAUCGGUAAGUGACAGCAGAUUUCAUCCUUUCUUGAGUUCAAGGUUCAGCUCUGCUUAAGAAAAUAUGAUUGUUUUUUCAACAGGAGAAAUAGAGAAACAAAUAGUGGCGCUGAAAAUGUAUUACUUCAUUCUAUGACAGUAUGAUCUCUGUCCUCUUAACUGUGGCUUUGAAAGGCUUCAUUCUUUCAUGUUUAUCAAUACCACUUUUUUUUUUUUUUUUGCUACCUGCUUUUCGUCGUCUGUUAUUGUUGGAUAUUAGGUUGACAACAUGCUCCGAGACAGGACUUUGUGAUUCCUGAUUGAAUCACAAAGUCCCACCAGACCUGAGAGCAUUUUUUUCUAGGCUGCUGACAGCACUGUGAGCCAAAUAGUCAAUCAUUGUGAGGGGACGGCGAGGGUUGUACCACUGUCCGCUUCAAGCCGGCAUCAAAGGUCAUGAUCUCAGAAAGCAAGGUAGCAGCCAACAGACUGAAGUUGUGCGGCACUGCCACUCUCUGGCGUCUUCUCUUACGUGGCAGCACUGUCAGCCAAAAACAGUAGACAGCUGAAAGGUUGCUUAGUCAUCGUCUGUCAUCAUCUUAACAGAGAGCGAGGCUGCAGCCAACAGACUGGAGUUGUUCUGCCCUGACACUUCUCCCUGGCAUCAGGCUGGCUUUUACAUCUAUUGACUUUUAUUGUUUAUACUGCAGUAAUGUUUACCAAAAAGUCAACCAUUGUGGACAACUGAAAUACUGCCGUUACGCCGCCUGGAGAAAAAGUGGUUUAGCCAUUGUCACCCACCUGAGUAGAGAGCUUUUUGUGGACUGAAGUGUCACUGCUGCACACGUCAGUAACAGUCUUCUUUUCCUAUCAGGGUAAGUUCAAGAGUCACGAACAGAAAGCACCCUGAACCAGCAGCAUGUUUAAGAAACACCUGCGUUUUUUCCCAUCUUAUACAAGAAGAGUACCAGCACCAACGAGGACCCAUCUGUGGUUGUUUGAUUUUCUUUAUGGAGAGUGAAACCAGAGCUAGCUGCAUAUCCACUGCCAUAAAGCACACCACCACCUCAGUCAGUCUGAUCGGCACAGAUUUCUCAUUCAGGCGCUUCUUCACCUUAUCUGUCCAGCCAAUCAGUUUGCCCCAAUGCUAUCGCCUCAGCCAAUUUAUAUUCUGGAUCCUCACCUGUGCCACUCGGAGUCCUCUCCUCCAUUAUCAUCUCAACCUUUCAAAUUAUUCACCACCACCUCAGCGUGAGCAAUAUGGGGUGAAAUUUCCAACAGUUUUUUUUUUGUCUUGCAUUGACUGAUUUAUAUCAGUGUAAAUGCAAAGAGUUCUCACAUGAAAAUGAAACAUGUUCCAGUUGUACUCCGAAGUCGGGAUUUCCGAGCUCUGAAAUCCAAAAUUUUAUCUGGAACGCCCCCCUCUAGUCAGAUUUCAGACUCGGAAAGUCGGACGAUCCUCACCAACCCCGACUUGGCGACAACGUCAUAAUCCAAGAUGGCAGCGCAGUGCAACAACAGUAUAGAGUAAAUAGUGAAAGCUCUCGUAACAUAUUAUUUAUUAGCACUUCUGUUUUGUUUUUGUGAAAAUAAAUAAGCGGUUUAUGUUGUGCUGCCUAAUGUCUAACUGUGAACACGGUGCCAUGGUGUUUGUAAGGGUAAAAUAUGGUGUUGUUCGUUGUUUACAACUGGUAUAGCGAACAACAGCUGACAACAGCUAACAAUAGCUAACAGGAGGUGUCCAUCUUGGUUUUCCAACUUGUUUACUGGAGUGCCGUCAACUCCGGUGUAAUGUCAUUCCUAGCUCCAACAUCCAACUUUCGAAGUAACUGGAACGCAGCAUCUAACACAUCUGAGCCUAAAAUUGUAUAAAGUACUCUGUUCAGAGCUCGGUCUUUUGAAGCUUUGGCAAAGCCAGGAAUUAGCAGCGAUUGUUGUGAGUAACUGGGACAAAAAAAGACAAAAAAUAGUGGUGGACUCAAGCUCAUGUGUUCAGCAUCAUGUGUGGGUUAUUUUGGGAGUGAUUUACUUUUCCCAAUUGGUUCAAAAGAAGAGAUAAGUUGCAUCGAUCUGAAAUCUAUGGGGGGUAGCUUAAGGACAGCCAAGCAUGGCCUCAGUGAACUAUCACAUGGAUCCAAGCUAUAGCUGUUCAAGAAUCAAACCAACUAAAGAUAGAAGCACAACAAACACAGUCAUAACAACAGCAGUGAACAUCAAGCAUGAAGUUAGAUGGACAUCAAUAAAUGGAGGACCCAAGUUGUUUUGUGGCCAUAAAAAGUUUUCAGUUUGUUCAGGUUUUCUCGGCGCUCACUGCGACUCAAUAACAAGCUGAGCUGAACUUCAUCAGAAUUUGAUAAGUAGCUGUAAACCCUGGUGAAGUUUGCUCAAUUACAUCAAAUAAACAACACUAAAAAUAGCCAAUGUUUUUACACUUCCUGUCACUGUAUGAUUAUGUUUUUAAUGUGCUGAAAUCAAGCCACAGGAGCCUGAGAGUUAAAAGAAAAGUUGUUUUCUUUCCUCUGCCAUUUUAACCUCCCCUCUGUCUUUAAGAAACAUUACACAUCCUCAUGGAACGCUGUGGGAUCUCACAACAAAUCAGCCAUGUUGGUUUAUUUUUUCGAGAUUCAAAGCACAAAGGUGUUGUGCAAGAUUUUCCAAUAAAACCGUGACUGAACUCACCAGACAUCUCCUUUGUGAGAGAGGAUGACGGUGAAGAUUACUUCUUCGCAUGGCAUCUGAAAAGCCAACACUGGCCCUUGUGUCUCACCCUCCUUUUCAUGUUGAAUAAUGGAGGCCCCCAUUAGGCGGAGAUGUGUAAUUGCGUGAGUCAGGCACACAAAACAGCUUCUUUCUGUGUCUUUCUGGCAGCCUGCAUGUCUCACAGCUGAAUAAGGACAGGGCAGUCAGCCAGCUUAAACUCCAAAGUCCUGAUUUUCCUUCCCCUGUGUAUCCGUGUGUGUGUGUGUGAGUGAGAGAGAGCUUAAUUUUAUGUGUGAGUGCUCAUUUCAUGCCCAUUUCUUAUUUAUUGAUUUCUUUGUCUCAUUAUUUGUCUAUUUGUCUUCAGUUCAUUACACCAUUAUCACCAUGAUUGCCCUUUGAAAUAAAUCAUGCAGAAGGCUUUUCAGCAGUCAACCCUCAUCGUGAACAAUGAGGAAUAUCUCCGAUACAUAUUGACUAAAUUGUGAUGGUUUAUUAAGACAAUGAAGAUAAUUGUUAAAGGUAAUUGACCAAAUAAAUACUACUUAAUGGGUUCAGAUAGCUUCACAAAGACAGGAGGCAUGCUAAGAUCAUUUCUGCGCGCGGCAGUUUGUAUGACGUUUCAGCGGGAAACAAAAGAGCUCAUUUAUACUUGAUAACCUCUUUCCAUUAUUACAAAUCGCAGGAGUAAAAAUAGCACUUUUUUAAGCAGUUUGUCCCCGAUGAAGAUACAAUUCGCGUUCAUAAACUGUUCCAAGACAACAGAGAUGAGAUAUGCCGCAUAUUGUGUUUCCCAAUUUAAAUGAUUUCGUAUCGAAUUUUAAUGAAAUGUAAUCAGACACCAUAUAGUGGAAACAAUUAGAGUGAAUAUGAUUAGCAACUGGCAUAACAGUGGUAAUGUGAAGUUUUGCAAAUCAUCUUAUGCACCAUUACAUACAGAUGUCUGCCGUUUGCUGAGCAUCACUGCAGUAUAUUUGCCGGUUUUUUCCUUAACAAAAGUAAUCUUAUACUCUUUCUUUGCUUUAUUUCAGGUGACACACCGGAUAGAAAUCAAAGUCAAAAAGUGUCUCUUUUUUUUCCUGUAGGAUGUUAAAUCUGGUGUUGUUUAUCCCAAACUAAAAUAGAAGUCUGCAAACUUGCCUGAGGGCUAAGUCUUUCCCUCCUGAUACAACAGACACACCAAAUAAAGCACGAUCAAACAUGGUCAACUUAAAUAUUCUCUUUCAAAAUUAUCUGUGGUCUUCUCGAGGAUAUCAUGUUACACUCUUUUUCUGUUUCUAUGUCCAACAAGCUGCAAACUGUUUUGAAGUAUCCAGACACUUUUAUUUUUUGGAGGGAGUAGUAACACUGUCUGUGAACCUGUAAAGGGAAAAGCAGAGGCAGUCGUAACACACGCCCAAGACCUUCCUCGCAUCCUUUUCCGCCAAUAAUACAGUCUGCCACCUUUACACCCUAACUCCUCGCCGGUCAACCUUCACAGUGAGGGCAGGUCUGACUCCACAGUUAGGAAAUGUUGGUCCCUAGGCUGUAUUAAAAGAAAACAUCGCUCUGUUGUUGCUUGUAAAUGAUUUGAGUAACAGCCUUUUUUCCCCCUUUUUUUUUUGGCGUAAUUAAAUUCUCAGGAGCCCUCUGACUGCGCUGAGGAUUAAUCUCCCAUGGCACCUCUCCAUCUGCAGCUUGGAUCAUCAGCCAUCCCUCUCUGCAUUAGCCCCCAGCUGUGCAACUGUCUGCCCAACCCGGGACUCGCACCCAAAUCAGGGGCAUACUUUGGAAAGGAGAGAAGGAAGAGGAACGAGAAGAAGCAACAUCGAAAUUAGGGAGGUGUGUGGUCUCGUGUGUAUCUCUGUGUGGAUUGUAGGGGUGGUGUUGGAGAGCAGCAAUAAAUCUCAAUACUUCACAUCAAUUUUAUUUUGGAGGGCUGAUUUGAGCCUCAUUUUCCCUCGAAUGGCCUUUUCCGCUGAGACGUGAUUGAUACUAAUAGCUUCGAGAGCGGUUACAUUUAGGGGGGAAACGGCCUUUUUUUUAUUGGUGCAGACAGUUGUUAGUGCUGCACCGAGUGAGAUUGUAAAUUUGGCUCUUUUUCAUGUAAUGUGACUCUUGAGGGUGUUGAGGCUGAGCGCUUUGGUUGCACCAUUGCUCUCCAUCAGCUCAUUGGAUGCUCAGUGCUAAUGAGAUGAGUAAUUCCUUCCUCUCAUAAAUAAACGGAGAAUUUACCCAAUUUUGCUGGUUUGGGGGAAUUUAUUUGUGGAAGCGACCCAAAGUUCACAAACUGCGGUUAUUCUCAUGAAUAAUUCUGUGGAUUAUUUCAAUUUACAGGGUGGUUUUUUUUUUUUUUUUUUGCAUAAUUAAAGUCACACCAACUGCAUGUUGGAGACUCAAGGCUGACCCACAAUCAAAGAUCACUGUUGUAGUCCUGAUACCCAGUAUUUUAGAUCAAAUCCAGUGCCAGUUUUCGCCUAUACCCCUUCCUUGAAUGUUGCAUUGGAAUUAGAGAGACAACCAUUCAUGGACAUUUGUGAUAAAAUAAAGAAUAAUAUACAGCAAUAGGAUAUUGCAAAAUGGUAGCGGCUGAUGCUACAGCAUUGUGUCCCAAGACUUCCUCUAUCCAGGAGCAUUUGAACCCACUGAAAAAGUAAUAAUCACCAUAUUAAUCAUUUUGCACUGCAGACGCAGUAGUUCUUCUGCCUUAGUGUCUCGGUCUGAUUGCAUUUCCAUGAAGAAAUAAUCAUAAAUGUUCUUCCUUGAGCUGCGGCACUCCGCAGCAAUCCGUAAUGGAAUCGCCUGAGGUCUCGCGACAAACAAGCGACUGCUGAAAGAGAGUAGGUGAGUUGUGUUUAGUCUCUUUGCUGAAGAAAUUAGGCAAAGUUAAAAAGAUGUUUGAUGGCUAGUGCUAUGGCUAGGACCCCAUAUGUACUGUUAAUGAAGUUAGGUGCUGUUCUGAGCAUUAUUUGUGGCUAUAAAGUGGCUUUUUGUUUUCCUUAGACUGCUGUGUAUUGCUAUAAUGUGGUCAUUACUAAAGUUGAUAUAACUAGAAAAGCAAGCGGUCGGCAACAUUCAUCCCUGGAGGUUGUGUCUAACUCUGUGUUGCGGUGUGUUUGACCCUAAAUUAAUUUUACGCUGGAAUAUCGCUUUAAAACGGUGUAGUGCAUAUGCCAAGCCAGUAAGUGGCGCUGUAACGCUGGCCAGGACAUGCACCAAAGACAGAAGAAGAGUAGGGAGCUUGCGUAUAAAGCUUGCCAGACUCGUAUGGGCUGAAACGCCAUUUGCAUGUGAAUACGACAAAAAACUUUUGCCCUUUCUCCUGAAUUUGUUUCUGUGUGGAUAGUUUGAUACCACCCUCAGAGAGACUUUGCAGAGCGGAGUGGUUUGCUAUUCAUCUGAAACUGCGAAGCUGUACAAAUUCCACACGACUGACUAGCGCUUGCCUUUUUUUAGUUACGAAAUUAUCACCUUCUUUCACAAUCGCCAUGUUUGUUUACACUGGUGUGGUUGGGAACUAGGGAGGGCACUCGCAGGAAGAGGGAGUCUACGGUAGCCUGGAGUCGCAAGGCACGAUAGAAAGGAAUAUUAAUUUGCAUAUAUGUAUUUUUUUUUUACAUCAUCAUAAUUGAUUAAUCCGAUUACAAUUUAAAAUUGAUGAAUCGUGCAGCCCGAGUAUUUGGUCUUGACCAAUAAAAGAGUCUAGGUAUCUGGGUAUGGAAAAAAUUAGCACACUGAAGCAUGUCUUUCACAUGGUCUGAGUCAGAAAUGAGCUCUGCAGUAUGACAGCAGUCACUCACAGAGACAUGCCGGUCUUUAACUCGUCCAGGCUAUAAAUUGGAAAGCGUCCCGCAGACUAAAAAGCCAAGUAUUUGGCCACCUUUCAUUCCAGGCGAUUUAACAGGCUCUGUGCUCCGGCAUGCAAGAUAUGGUUGAUCCAAUUUCGGCCAUGCUCAAUCAACCUAAUUCUACAGGGGACACAGAGGCCGGGUACUGCAGUGUGUGCAGGAAUGGAUUGCUCAACAAAGCAGCUUUUAAAGGUCAUGUUUUUUGCUGCUUCCCUGCCUGCGAGUUCCUCACAGAGGGCAGCGUUUGCAAACAGUGUAUGUAGAAUCACUACAAAUCCAACAACUCAACAGUGAUUUAUGCCGGGAAGCAGAGGGGGCGUCAGCUUUGACUCAAAAUGGGGUGGAAGUUACAGCGUGGCAUCUCUGCUAAGCUGUUUUUAGUGUGUGGAGUGUGAAUAGUUCAGGCAUUUUUGAAUUUGCACGUACAUGAAAGGUGUUUGAAAUGUUUUCGGGUAGAAAACUUUUGUCUCGCUGCUACCUUAGUUUUUAAUGUUGUUGUACGCACUAACAAUUACUUGCUCAAGGUUUAAUGAACAUGGACAUGGUUUUUCUACUCUACAACCUCCUCGUGUUCCUCACAAGGAGCACAGUGUCGUGCUUUUUGUUCUGCUAUACAAGGAGACAAUUAUAUUAUCAGCAUGGGAUCUCUGCUUGAUAUCACAUGUCCUGAUGAUGAGAUGAAAUAAAAGAGGUUUCACACACAUGCUCCCACUGUGUCCUUGACGGGCGGAAAUGUCUACUUUGCAAUUUCUGUAAUUUGGGUGAGAGGUAUGUUUUCAAAGAUAGCAUGGUGCUGAACGUUCUCCUCAGGGGACAUGAAACACAUCCAUCCGUUUCAGGGACUAAAUCUGUGGAAAGACGCAGAGAAUUUUCCAGUGGGGUUCUCUACAUGGUGAAAACUGCUUGUGAGUUUUCCUGGAUAUCAUUUAGGAAUCAAUUUGGAUGGUGUUAAAAAAAAUUGAUCUGUUUUUCUUGACUUUUUGUUGUGUGUGUUUAUCAAAAUCAAACAGCAGCACUUUUGGUGGCAGAUUUGUUUAAAUCAUUAAUCAGAUAACACCUUUAAACUUUCUCUGACUCUAACUCACCCAUUUAUAAGGAUUGUUUUUUGUUUUGCCUUCCUUUUAUAUUCUUGUAAACUAAAUAUCUUGCAAGACCAAGCAAGGUGUCAGCUUUGGGACUUUUAUUUAUUUUUUUGUAGAAUAAAAAAAAAAUAGCAAUGGAAGAAAAUAAUUACACAACACAGCCCUGGUUUUAUUGAGAGCCCAGUGAUGGAUUCCAGUCUCAUAUCUGCCCACAAAGACGUUCAAUUUUAAUAACCGCAAAAACAACAUUCAGGAAAACGAACUUCAAAUUGAAUCUGACUGAUUUAACGUGGAGGAAAGGUCGACAUGAGAACUGUCGGCUGCAAUCAGCAACGACGAGGAGAUUUUUACUGACUGUUAGGAGUCAUCAAGUCUAACAUGCAAACUUUUACAGCAGUCAGGAAUGUUUGUUGUAAAUGCUCAACAUGCUGCAAUAAAAUGUGCCAAGCAGGGCUUGAUGUUGGGGUUUAAAACAUGCUUGUUCUAAUGAGAUCUCCCACCAACAAACAGAUGUGGUGAACCAGCAUUCUGUGAAGUUAACAUCUGUGGAUAAUUGGAUGGUGUAGCUAUUGUGGAAAACAUGUUGUGGGCCCCUGUUUCUCAGCGAGAAGUCAUUAUCAAUGUUUAUGUUAAUAGCUCUGCCAUACCAAGUCUGCAUGUGUUCUUGGACUGAAGGGGCUUCAGCUGACUGUUUCUGCCUUCCAAAUUUUCCGGUCACGGUUGUGUUGCUACACGGAUUUUCAGAUGUGUCGAAUGUCUUAACAAUCUGUUGUGAAUUUUCUUAACUCGGUUCUGCGGUUUACAGACCGAGAGACUUGGGGACUGAUUUUGUGCCUGCCAACUUGCUGGAUGCCUGUUUUGUAGUUAAUUUUAGAGAACGCUCGCUCAAGUCAUAAAAACGACCGACAACACUGCGCAAUAAGAAAGUGGUCUUUCUUUUCAUCUUGUUUGUGUUCGUUCACUUUUCAAAAACUACCUAAAUUUGUCAGUGUAAGAACUUCACAAAGCAAUGAGAAAUGAAGGUGUCUUUUAUGGAGAGCUGAUUAAUGAAACUUGCAUGACUUGGUCGGACGAGGUGUCACUUUUAUGUGCCGUGCUCACAGAUGCCUCACUCUCUAUUUAGUAUUCUGUGAAAACUGUUGAAUAAUUUGAGACCCCCUCUGAAUAAAGAUGGUGUCUGUAUCUGUCUCUGCCAAGGGUUGUACUUGAUUAGAGUUAGAUCAUAUUUUUAUAUUCACAUUCAGUCUCACAGCAAAUUCAAUACAUCAUUUAUACAUUUCAGAAAAUAAGCAUAUCCAAGGACAGGACAUACGAUGGUAAACGCAUAAUGAUGGGCAAUCCAAAAGGUUUGUGUUUACUGAGCUUUGAAUGGUGGUAAUUUAAUGUCUCAAGCAAUGAAAAUGACUUCAAGCCAAGAAAAUGACUUGAAUUGAUGAAGGUUGCUGUAAGCUACCAUUUGUUUUUAGCCUCCUUCUCAACACAAACAGCUCAUAACUCCAGCCAGUCGGUCCCUCAUAAAUAAAUCAUCAGAAUGAAGCAUGCAGACAGGUUUGGUCGGUUCAUUUACUACUCAGGUAAAUGUUAAAAUGUGCAGGACCUGAUCUACUGUAAGUGAUUCGGUAUGUUGACAGGUGCCUGAAAUGCCUCCAGCAUCUCAGAAACCCCGUGACCGCAUGAACCCCUGGGAUUUUCAGAGGAAGAGGCUUUUUAAAAACAUAGUCGGUAUUCGUGCUUCUUUGUUGUAAGGAAAGUCAAGGGAGCUCGGAGUGAGCUGUUCAAGCUAAAUGCCGCUCAAAGUCAGUAGCAGAUCGUAUAACAGAGAUGUCAUGAGAUUCUCACUGCAGUGCAGACUGAAAACCAGAUUGAAAAGCCAUUUGGUUUCUGCAUUUCUUCAUGAUUUUAUAUAUACCAAAUCUUUACAUUUUUCUCGCUGUGACUGACAACAAAAAUGCCAGAUGAACAGAUGGUAGCUCUCUGAGUCCAAUAACAACAACCUAUGUGGGUCUCCAUCUGUUGGAGGGCAUUUUCAGUUUUCAGUAUCAGUUUUUCUGCCAUUUUUCUAUACAUCCUGCCAGCAGUAGGGAGAUAAAUGCCUCCAUCCUUACCCUGCUUAAAAGCUGAGAGUCCCCAGCUCAUUAAAACCAUACCUGCUGCAGUCGUUCACCAAACUCAUCGUCUAUGCUGCAGAGUUGUCAAAAAACCGUUUGCAUUUUGAUACCAUGUUCUCUACCGCGACACAAAUGCAGUUGUGUCAACUGUCUGACGGUUUGAAUGUGACAAGUGUUUACAAAAUCUACAGAUCAUCAGUCAGAUUUUUGACCCAAAACUGUCACACUUAAAAUAGAGCGAGCACUGCUUAUGAAAACAAGGUGGAAAAACAGGAAAAUAAUGCUGUUUUUUAUUGUUUUAUGGGCAUUUUUCUUUGUAAAACAAACAGGCCCACAUCUUCUCCAAACCGACAGGAAAGGACUAGACUUUGUUUAAAUGCAGCAGGAAUACUUCAUGCUGCUCCAUCUAUAUGUCUGAUUUGUGAAAUGUUGGCUUUGCUUUUUCCACACCACUGCUCAAUAAAUCACCAACAGCAACAUAACAAUACAUAUAGAUGGAGGGCAGAUUCACAAGCCCCACCAUGUAUGAACUAGAAUAUAUAGAAUUAUGUACGGUCAACCCUGCAGUGGUUAAUUCUCAACAGUAAAUACUAUGCCAGAGUUGACCUCAUCACACACAUCAUGCCAAGCUCAUCUGUGUGCAGAGUCCAGCAAAUGUCCCACCUGCCUGUUAACACUGUGGCAAAUACUUAGAUUCCAUUACUCACUCCAUACUUAUGUUCCAAAUUAUAAACGUGCUGGCCAUAGACUGUUUUAUUGACAACUUGGUUCUGCCUUCUGUCAUUAUACGAAUCUGAAACCAAAUUGUUCUCGGUAUUUCCGGGAUUUUCUCUCCUUCCUGGAACCGCCACUUGUGCAGUAGCGUUGUACACAUUCUGUGGGAGAGUCCCCAAGAGUCGCUGUGAUGACACUCAGCUCAAACAGCGUAAACCCAGGGUGAGCUAUGCAAUCUUCAUACGCCCAUAUCAAUCAUAGAAAACAUGAACCCCCCUGAUAACUUUUAAAAAUGGAGCUGCACAGACAAAAGAGGACUUGAGCACAAACCAGUCUUACAGUAACUACAUGUCAACAUCGCAACCGGGGGGAGAAACAAACAUAUUCUGUGUAAUAAAUUUCUAAAGUUAGUCAACGGCUCCAUAGGGAUUGCUGGAGGAGGUGGGAUUUAUGACCUCUACUGCAGCCCGUCACCAGAGGGUGCUGUUCUCAGGGGGGCUUCACCCAGCGAGGAGGCAGACGUGCUUUCAAAUGACUCGACAAUUUUUUUCUUGCCAGCAAAACCCUUUCAAAUUUCAUUUUCUAUUAACAAUAUGUCAGAUGUUGGUUGUUGGUUUCUACCAGCCUUGUGUACAAAUUUGUAAUUUAAAAACAAGAUUAUUACCAAACUUUUGUCACCAAGGAGUUCUGUAGAAAACUGUUUUUUGAUGUGGUUUGGUUUAGACUGUUGUCAUUUCUUUCUUUCUUUCUUUCUUUCUUUCUUUCUUUCUUUCUUUCUUUCUUUCUUUCUUUUUCUUUCUGUUUUUAUUAUUCAGAGUAACAAUAACUGGGCCACACCUAUCUUGCAUUAUUUGAUGAAUUGGACCUUUUAUUUUCUAUUGUUAAGAAAAUGUGUUAUUCGAUGAAAAAGGCUUGUUGUAGUACACCCGGGAAUACUUGAAUCUCUUUGAAAUGGGGCCCUAACCGUAAGCGUAUAAGCACCCUGUUAUGAUGUUGACUUAUUUAUUUAUGAUACAUGUACUUCAGAGCACCCAUCAAAGCAAGACGAGUCAAACUGAUGUAGGAUCAAGAGGUCCUCAUCAUAUAUUUCCAUGUUCUCUACUGUAAAUAGGAUGUUUAAUAUUCUAUCAGCUCGCAGUAUAGAUUUGAUUUGUUGUGAUGUUGUGUUUAAACAAGCCUAUAACCACAUCCAGACCUGCAUGUUGAUGUGUGAAAGCUAAGAAAACCAAUUAAAGUAAUGCUGGAAUAAUCUCCUCUAUAUUUCCCCUAGUUUGUUUGGACCAACCAUGAUAUCCACUUGUUUUUAUUUUUCUGAAUAAGACAUUUAUAAUCAAUAUGAGUCUUAGAUUACCUGUCAUUAUUUAUCAGUAUGCUGCUUAUCAUCGACAAGCCAAGGUUCAGGUUGUAAGAACCUGUUUUCGACCAGUUUUCAGGUAAAGUGUCUCUUUGCAUUGACAUCCUUGUAAUUAUUUGUAGGUAAAGGUGAUGUUGAGUUGGCUUGACAGGUCCAGACACACUGCGAGAUAACAAAUUGAUCAUGAAUUAAUGAGGUCACUACUAAUCAAAAAGUCCCAUGCUGAAGUCUGAAUGUAUUAGUGCGAUCCAACAUGUGGCUAGAAUUACAAGAUUUAGUGGAGGAUCCUGAGAAGUGUCAAGGGGGGCCGCAGGUCAAAGGUCAAAGAUUAAGUAGGAGUUGAGAAAGAGCAGAUAUGCUUGGAUGGAUUACAAUUCAUUAAAUUCUCUGAGCAUGUUUUUUUUACUUAAAUGGGUUGUUAAGUUGGGUUUCCUGGGGCUAAUGUUGUCAUUUUUUGCUUACAGUAUCCUCUGGAUGAAUCUGAAAAGAGACAGAUUUGUUUAUAUGACAAAUAUGUUCCUGAAGUCUUCACAGAUGUCUCAAAUCCCCUUACAGAUGGGUUUGAAAUUGAGAUUAAAACAUACCACUGCGUUUUCAGUGACAAUUUUCAAUGAAUUAUGUUUCCACCUGCCGUGACACCCACAACACUCUUCCUAUUUUCUAAGCAGGGAAAUUGUUUAUCCAUCAAUAUAACUGAUUCUGAUUGAAGUAGCUGAAGGAGUACUUUGUUAGGAAAAUUGAGUGCUAUUGCAUAUAAUUAUCUCCUACUGUCCUAUGCCGAUAAGGGGGAAAAAUGGCUGUGUCCAAAAAAUGUUAAUCCGGGUAUUAGACAAGAGAGAAGAUGCAUGUCUGGGAAUUAGUUUUCAAACGUUUUCAUUAAAGUCCUUUGAUUGAAAUAAGUUCUUUAGCUGAGAAAGUUUGCAAGGCUUUCUCUUUGCUUUAUUUACGACUGACCGAGUGGUGUUUGGACUGUAACUGCAGAGUGGCGGAAACUGUUCAGACUACAAAUGAAGAGCGUACAGUCUUAAUAAUUGCCUACACUAGAAUAUCUGAGCAAAUGUGCUGUUAUCUGUGAGAGCUUUUAAGCCAUUGUCUAAAGGCAGAAUCUAACAGUCCAAUGGGACUGGAGGCACUAAUCUGCAGUUUUCAAUAUCUUAAAACAAAGCCAUAAUAUUGCUUUUGUGCUUUAUUGUCACUGUUUAUCGUUUUACAGUAAUUGAACAAAUCUGAAUGAGGCAUCACAAAGUGCUUCUGCAAACAAAGAAAUAAAACACUGACUAAACUAAAGCACGGGCGAGUGCUCACUCAUCAUGCACCAACCUAAUUCUGUUCCACUCAAAACAAUUAAACUCCCUCUCCACUCACUUUUUAUUACAUCGCUCGGCACUUUUCUUCUGUGUAAACAAGUAAAGAAUAUUAAUGCGCUUGUCAUUUUUCCAAGUAUUCUUGACAGGCAAGAGAGAGACAAGACGUAGUUACCAGAUAAAAGUUAUUUCAUUUUUAGACAUUUUUAAAGUCACUGGAGUUAAUCAUAGAUAGAAACUGGACUGCUGUGUAACUAUCUUUAACUUGCCUCUGACAGGUGAUUUCAAUAUCACUUCAAAGAUGCCAGUCUGAUGUUAACAUGCAUCAAUUAUAUAAAAUACAUCAUGUUAAAAGUUUUUCUGCUAGUCAAAUGUCAAGUUAUUUAAAAGUAUCUAUGAAAAAAGGGGGUGUUUCUGCCUGGACUAGUUUUGCCUGCCGUAUUGCUUAGAAGGCUAUGAGGUUUUCAGCCAUGAGAAAAAGAGCGAAUUAAAAACUGCUGUCCAAUACAUUUGACAAAUGUCUAAACCAUGAAUGAGUGUUUAUCUACAUGUCCCACAAAUGGGGACCGUCUACAUCAAAUUUUACCCAUUUUGAGAGCAACUCAAGCAACAGUGAGGAGUUUUUGCACAGAUUACAAUCCGUGUAAUCAGAUUUGAAAACCGUGCACACGUUUACAUAAGGUCCUUUCUUUCUUGACCUUCUACCCGGGGUCUCAGUUGGCCUUGAGUCUGACAAGUUUGAAUGUUUCAGCCUCCCUCACAGAUGCAGAGACCUGAGCAGGACCAUCAGAAACAACUCGGUCCACAACGGCUCAUAUUCAACCAGUCAUAAUGGGUGUGAAUACACAAGACCCAGUCAGUGCGUUUGCAUGUACAGUUAGGUCAAGUUGCGGUCAUAGUUCAGUUAGGCGAUUCAUAGUUCAAUUAGGCAAUUCAUCUGGAUCAGUGACCCAGUUUACAAGCACUGGGCACUGUGGUGACAUGCCCACUUUGUCAUCUCUUGAUUGACUUAUUUUUAAAAAUAAUUGGCAAAACCUGUUAGCAAGAGGGUGAUGGGAUGUACAUUAAACAAAAAGACCGUCACUUUUACCUUUUUACCUUUUGUGCGGUGGGUAAAAUUAGACAUUUUUAUAUCCCUGCUUUGUCUCGUCAAGGUUUUGUUUACUACCCAUUAGUGUAAUUCAACUUCCAGCUCAAAGCCUGGCGUGCAAAAACUGGAGCAUAUGCAGAAUGCUGCGGCUGGUUUCAGACUGAAAGUGCCAAAUAUGUGGAAGAUAAAAUCAAUCCCCAUCCUCAUUUUCUCUGUAUGUUUGUCUAACUAUGAGAAGUUCAAUUUAGUAGGAUUUCAGACAGACUUGUGUGUUUACAUGAUUUUUAAAAGUCCAGUCUAAGGCGAUAAAUCGAUAUCAUUGAAUGAUAUGUAAAGAUAUCAUAUACUAAAGCAGUGACCUGGUAGGUUUUGUUUGUUGUUGUUGCAACAUAAUGAGAUAGCAUGCCAUUUUUUUUAAGUCAGUAAAUUAGUCAUUGCCCCAAAGCCCUAAAGAAGGUUAAUUGGUAUUAAAAUAUAGAUACUGCCCAACUCAAGCUAUAACAUCCCACAAGAUAGGCAUGAUCAGUAAGAAUGGUUUUACCCCAACCAGGAAGAAAGGACUGGGUCUAUGAAGUGUUUCUCUGAAUCUCGAUUGGAAUCCCGAUUCUCUUCUCAUUGAUGUACUGAAACAGAAUUUUCAUCUUGAUUGAGCCUUCAGUCAGAUUGGCUGUGGUCAAUGUAAUGUCCAUCAUAAAAGAAUCAAGUCAAAAAGUUGUUGGAGCUUCUCUCUCGUUUUGCUGUUUUUCAUGGAGUGAAAAUAUUGAAGGUUUUGAAGAACUUGAACAGGCUAAAAAAAAGGAAAAAGUAUUUCUAACUUGAGGAUGUACAAGAGCUCAAAAUUAAACUCAAUCUCUUUUUGAAGGCCACCACAGAAAGACACUUCAAAAUUCAUCAGCGUUUCUUUUAAUUCUUUGAGAUAUUUGGUUUUUCAAUGUUUGGAGACAAGAACAAGGCUAUCAGGGGUACUUAUGUUAAGACCUGUUUUGAACUUUCAUUUUAAUUUCCAUCUUUGGAUAUAUUAUUUUCAUUUUGAGGUCAGUUUUGAAUGUUUUCGCUGCUGGUUUUUGUUGGUUUGGCUAACUUUGUUUUUUUUUUCUUCAAACAUGCUUAGUUAUUAUACAAUGUAGUCAGACAUAAAAGAUGAUCAACCAGAACCAUGUCAAAUGAUGUCCUCCACUUUUUUUUGUUUGUUUGUUUCACAUGGAGCUUGAAUUAGUGAUACUCUGUUCUGCUUUUUUUUAACCCUCUCCUCCCUAUUCUCGACUUUGACCGUUACGGCUGUCCACAGUUUCAGGAAGAGGAGGGUCUGUCAGCUACUUCAGCUAGUUACCAAGCUCCAUAAUUAAUCCAACAACAGGACAAGUUCACACAGACUAACCAAAAGAACUGUUUGUACUAUCAAAUCCUGUCUCAUCACCAUGUUCAAGUCAUUUGUCUUUAACCAAGCUUUUUUUUUUUUCUUAGACAGGGAGAGGGUUGAAGAAAAAUGGAUGGUGCAACAGAGCUAAUGAGCUACAGUUGUUCGCCCAUUUAUCUCUUCUAAAAAGUAAUCAACACUGUCAAGAUCUCUUUCUGUUCGUGAACGGUGAAAAAGUGUAGCGGAGUUCACCAAAGUUGGACACAAAGCGAAACUCGUGGGCUGCUUUACUAUGCCCUAUCCAAGAGGUAAACACUACAAAUAUAUGAAAUUAAAUACAUUUCAACUAAAAAAUCCACUACUUUAAAUCUCUGUGUGAUUGGCCUCUGACUUUUCUGCACAUAUUUGUACUUUUCAACUAUAUUUUAGAGCAUUUUCCAAACGAACAUGCAUCCCAGAGUGUCUCACAGAAGAAUAAUCAUGACUAGUGCUAAUGUGGGUGUGUUUCAUAAUUAAUCACCAACUAACUCCCGCUGAUGAGAUAGUACAUUACCUCCAGGCAGCACUUUGAUUGUGUGCUACACAAAGUUGGCUCUUGCACAAGUAAAUGUCAGUGUGUGUGUGGUCAGGAGUUGGCCUACUAACCUAGCCGUGCAGCUUUGACCUUUGACCCUCUCUCAGGACAGCACCUAGGGCCCCUCUUGAACUUGUUAACAGCUUUCCCAUGUCUGUGGGCUGAGCUGCAGUGAUUUAUCCUCUGUGCCCCGACUACAAGGAGCACCACAGGGUUGAAAGAUGAUUGUCCUCCAGAGCAGGGGAAUAAACUGUGCUAUGAUGGUGUCAGGAACCCCAGCUGGUGCAGAGAGCAGACUCUAUCACAGACACAAAGGAGAGAUGACCUUUAAUCAAAGCAGGGCCAUUCAUAAUGCUGCUAGUAUCUAGUCAUUUUUAUAUUACGGUUUAACAUGGUAAUUAUUGGCUCUCUUCACAAAAUAUGCAGACUGUAGGACAUUUCAGUCAAUCCAAACAUUAUGGAUGUUGCUCUGCAGGAAUUUCCUCAGUAAUGACACUUACCAUCAAGGCAGUAUCAUCUGUAAAGCCACUUUAAAUGUCUCUCUUUAGAAAUAGAAACCAUUUAACACAUCUUGUGGAUGUUUAGUGAAAAACACAGCAUGACUAUAUAUGUUGCAGAAGGGAUUUCAGUUAUUUUAAAGUCUUAUUGUAUUAAAAAAAAAACAUUUGGUAGCAAUUUACUUGACGCCUAUGUCUAUAAAGCAUCAUACAUAUAUGUAUAAUGCAUAAUAAUCACGUUAUAGCACUGUAUAACUAUAGUUAUAAACACUCAAAUGAUCAUAACGCUUUAUAGCAAUUUAUCAUGACUUAUAAGGUUGGGUAUUAUAAUGUGUUAUAACUGUUAACAACUCACUGACAAUGCCUACAUUGAUAAUGCAUUGUACAUGUAAUUAUGAUGUGUUAUAAUUUGCUUAUAAACUUGUAUAACUAUCACUAUAAACACUCAUUAUUUAUCAUAAGGCUUUAUAACAAUAAGCAUAAAACUGACUUUGUAAGUCAUGAUAAAAUGCUUUAUAAUGUGUUAUAAUUAUUGCUAUAAAGCAUUAUGAUCAUUUAUGAGUGUGUAUAGCUAUAGUUAUACAAUGCUAUAAUGUGAUUAUAAUGCAUUAUACCUAUAUUUAUAAUGCUUUAUAGACAUAGGCGUUUUUAAUUGAGUUUUCACAUGUAUAGGCAAAAACAAUACAGCAAACAAGGUACAAGUAACAAUAAUAACACUAACAAACUGUCUGGAGUUACGAUUGUUCAGUUCACUGUUCGAUACAGCAUUUGUUCAGUUGGUGUCAUGGCUCAUAAAGUUUUUCGAUUUUUCCCAGUUUUUUUUUCAAAUACGUUCUCUUUGAGUCUCAACAGGUAUGUCAAUUUUCCCAUAGUAAAUAUUUCCUGGACAAUUUCCAACAACUGCUCCUGGUUUGGAGUGUUCACAUUGAGCCAGUUUCUUGUGACUGCUUUCUUGCUUGCUGCGAGUAAUACAGUCAAAUCAAGUACAGAUCUGUAAUUUUUUAUGCCACAUCCUUGAUCCUGUUUUGGCUUUACUAUCAAGGACCGUUUGCGCUGUUGAUCUUCUUGCACAGUCUACAACUGAUACCUACAGAAAUUCAGAGUCAUGUACUCACUAAACUCACCGUCAUUUAAAUGUAGGAAGAAUCUUGAGUUACCACAGUCAAGUAGUAGAGGGGAAAACAGGUUAAUCUCCAAACAGAGAUGCACAGCACGCUGUCAGGAUUGAAAUGAGUAUUUUGCUGUAGGGUGUGCACAUGUCACCCUAGAGUUAAAAGAUUGUCGUUGUCAACUCGUGGCUUUUAGGAUGUCCUCAAAGUUGUUGUUUUUGCCAGAGGGCUUUUGAAAAGCUUUAUGGUGAAAAAGAUGACACUCACACCAAAUACUUUAAGAUUUUUUUCAGAAGUGAAUGCAGGAAUAUAAGAGGGGGAAAAAAAUAAGAAGGAAAGCUCCUGUAGGGAACUUUAAGUGUGGGUUGACUUUGGCGCCCCCUGUGGAUAAACUGAAACCUUAUCUCUUCAGUUUGAUCGUUUUAAACACAAACAUUAUCUCGAUAUAUUUUAAUGAAUAGCCCAGUCAGCACAUUGACACAAUGUUAAAAAGUGAUUUAGUGCAUUAGUUUUGCUAAAAUAGAAAUUUUGAAACACAAAUCUAAACAGAAAUUAACUAAUUGAUCAGGUCAAUUAAUGACAUUUUACAAUAAAUGUCCUCUGCCAAUAUCUGGGCUGAUUAAGUCAAUUAAAGAAAAACAACAAAUCAAGUCUACAGCCAGUUUUACCAAUGUUUUUAAUAUAAAAAAUGAGAAAAAAACAGGCUGUUUCUGCAGUGCUACGUUUGACACCUACUGCAGAGAUUUGAGGCACCAACACUCAGAAUACAGAAACAGUUGGUCUUCCUCAAGAUGCUCUCGUUUGCUUUUGUGGAGCAAAAAAAGAUUCAUCAAUAUUAAUUACAGCCCAGUUUAAUCACCUCAAAGGAGCUUCAAGGAAUUUAUAUCGAGACUUUUAUUUAAAUAAGAGAUUAACAGUGAGCUAUUAGAUAUCCUUCAGAAAGAUUCAAUGGCAGAAAAAGAAGAAGAACUCAAGAGCUGUAAGGUGCUACAUUACAGCGCUCCAAACAUAAACACUAGUUGAGGAUGAAGAGCUAUAAUCUAUUGUCGACAAUUUUGUACCUCCAGCAGUGCCAUCAUGUCUCACUGCGGUUAGCUCCAGUGUGUACUAAAUCAUGUCCACCCACGCACACUGCAUCAACACACCCACGCCCACCGCCCACUGACGAAUCUGUCACGGACGCUAUCAAUGACAGUCCGCUUGCUCUGUUAGGAGAGCAGAAGUGUGUGUGUGUCUAUGUGCGUGUGCGUGUGUGCUCCUGUGUGUGCGCAGUAAGCAUGUGUUUGUAUUUAUCUGUUGUGUGUUUGCAUGUGGAGGAGAGACGGAGCAACAAAGCUUUGCUAGCAUGACAUGCUAAAUCCUCUUUGCUGUUAUGAUUGCUUCAUUUAAUCUCAUUUUGAAAAAAUGGGCCAUUUGAUGGAAUUAAAAAAAAAGAGUUUAAGAAAGCAAGUAUUUGCUGCUGAAGUUGAUCAUACUUCAGUGUACAGACUUUUUUUUUCCCAUUGUCUCUUUUAAGAGAAUCUGUAGAGCCCACUGGGGAACAAAAAGCCGCUGUACACUUAGCAAAGAUGAAGGGGAAUGAAGUCAUUAUCUCUGAUGUCUCUUUUAACUGCUGCUGAUGUGUACUCAACCCACACUCUCUCUCCCCAACUCCCCACCACCACCACUACCUCUCUCUCUAUCUCUUCUUUAUUUGACGUAAUGCUGAUAAAUUAGCCCGUUCUUACCCGCAGUGUUUCUCAUUCUGAGUGGCCCCGCUGGAUUUACUGGUGCUCUCUCUUUUUCCUCUCUCUUUGUGCGAUUGGUCACAAGAAGAAACAGGUUCAGGCAGUGCAGCAGGACUGAAGGUCAUUUGUGAAGGGCUAAAAAGACUUGAAAAUCUCAGGGAGAGCGGGUCAUUUGGGUUCACAGACCCAGAGGUGACACUCUCACCUUCUUUUGUGCUCGUUAAAUGAUUUAUUUUUUAUUUCAGCUGCUUCAUGCCUGCAGAACGCCUUCGUAAAUGAAAAAUACCGGAGCUUUUAUAGCGUCGAGAGGAACAGCAGAGCUGCUAAUUUUUACCAAGGAGACUUCCAACUCUUUAAAGUGCUGUUAUUGAUGUAAAUGAAUGCUAUUAUUCUCCCAGUGGUUUUCUGGAACAUUACUAUAAUUACCAUAAUUAUAUACUGUUAAAAAACAAAUUUGCUGAACAACUGGAGCAAUAUCUCCACCGCCUCGCUGUUUUUUCGUGUACGCUUGCACAUUUUUCUCCAGACGCACAAACACUUUUAGCCAACUUCUCAUUCUCAUUCCCCUGGAGAGCAUUUUUCCUUUUUCUACGGCUCGACACUUCUUUUUAAGAGAAGGAAAGAAAGAAAGGGUGGGGUGGGGAUGGGGGAAUAGGAAAAGAAAGAAACUGCGUGCAAGUGAGAGAGUGAUAUCGCCGGCUGCUGUGUGUGACGCUGGGAUCCUGUAUCUGGGUCAGGCCUCCCAGCCUGGUUCAGGCAUCAUGUGAGAUCCUACUGGGACAACUCUUUAACAUCAACAUGGGUGAAGAGGAGACGGAUUUUUAAGAAUCUUGUUCUGCAGGUGUGGUGUGGCAGAUAAAAGACUUUCUCCCAACACAGCCUAGUAGAGAUUCAUCAGCAGCACAGUGGGUCUAAAACAUUCACAGACCAGCUGGUGCUCUCACAGCUCUGACGCCACAAAAUUACACUUGAGAUCCUCCCACUUAAGCCUGUAUUUUUUUUUUUCUCUUACACAAUCCUGAAGUGAAAAAGUAAUGGUAAAAGGCAGCCGUGCACACCCUUGACUCACUCCAUCGAGCCAUGCCCUUCUGUUAGCCAGAGCCUCUGGGGUGCAGGCCUGUUGAUGUACAUAGUUUAAUCAAAGUGGCAGGGCUGCCUGGGCUGACAGGCCGUGUUAUUUGAGCACAUUGCUCGCCAUGGCUGGCUGUCCCGCUCUCUGCUUCCCUGAACAUGGGAGUCAGUGAUCAGUGCGAGGGAGAGCAACCGUGUUUCUUGUUUUCUGGUGCAUAAACCUCAGUUAGAAAAGUACUCCUACUUGAGAGUCAAGAGCAAGAUGGCUGUAAUGGUUUUAUUGAAUUAAGUAUGGAUCUGUUUAUCGCUGGAUUAUUUAUCCCGCCUCAUCACAUGUGUGAAGUGCAACCUCCCCUGGGUAUCAGACAUGUCAUGGACAGUAGAUUAACAUAAUCUUGAGAGAUACCCUGUUGCAUUUUGAUGCUGGUUCUCAUAGUGCAACUCCAAAAACACAACAGAUGUAUCCAACUAACCCUGAAGUGAAUAUGACAGCUCUUGAUUUUGUAUUGCCCGUGUGGAAAUCUCUUCUGAUCAGGACCAAUUUGCACAAAGAAGUGUUGAACUUUUUAUUUACUGAAUAGUAUACCAUCCAGAAAUGAAGAAGCGUCUGAUAAAAUAAAGAUUAUAAACCAAUUAUUGAAGGAAAAAUCAUUGUUGUGUUUGUAGAAGUUUUUCUUUUAGAUUUCUCUUACUUUUAUCUUCUUAGGAGCCUUAAAAAUCAACUGAAUUUUAGCUAGACGCUGCUUUUACGUCUGCGGGUAAUUGGUUCUUAUAAAAAUAAAAAAACUCAGACGCAACAGUCACCGACAGUGUUCCCACAAAUUAGCUGCGUCUGCUUGGACUUGAAAGAAACAUGUAUUAUUAUAUAAACUAAUUCAUUGCCUUUCAAAGGGAUCGAGCUUUCUGUGAUAAUAGAAAAAAAAGUAUUCUGUCUGUAUGUUUCAAGUUAAACCGUCGUAUUUAAUCCUAAAUCUGUAAAUACAGUUUACAAUAGAGUAUAAUGAAAAUAAUAAUGAUAAAUUUAUUUAUGUAGCGGCUUUAAAAACAGAAUAUUACAAAGUUUUUUUGGAUAGAUUUAGUAAGUCUCAGGUCUUCGCACAGGCUCCCAUUUUGAGCAGUUUACAUGUUUUUUUCAUAGAUUAUGACAACAUACGUUAACCAUGUAAUUCAAAACUUAGCAUACAUUUAGCAUGGACUGGCUGUAUCAAGUGUCAAUAAUAGAAAACAUGAACCCCCUAAUAACUUUUAAAAAUGGAGCUGUACAGAAAAAAGAGGACUUGAGCACAAACCAGUCUUACAGUAACUACAUGUCAAAACCGCAAGCAGGAGAGACAAAAAUUUAUGUUCUGUGUAAUAAAUUUCUAAAGUUUGUCCAAAACUCAAUAAGCUUUUUCUGACGGAGGCAGAAUUUAUGACCUAUACUGCAGCCCGUCACCAGAGGGUUCUGUUCUCACAGUGGCUUCACCCAACAAGGAGGCAGACUCUGUCCAUUCUAUAUACAGUCUUUAGUAUGGACACUAAACUUUGUAACUUUGCAGGUUUUGUUAAUGUGGAAAAGCACAAUAAUCCCUCCCCUUUAAAUAUCAUAAUCAAAAAUAAAGAAAAUAAAUUAGAAUAUCAUAAAUUAAUGGCAACAGUCAAACGUAACCCAUUGUGUGGGUGCAAGAAAAAGGUAUAUUUCUCUGAUGGAGCUAAUUAUAUUCAAUCAAUGCAUUGAGCGGUAUACUUGCCAACACCUAGCGCCACAUUUCAGGCAGUAUUUUCGAUCCGUGUAUUUCAACUCGAACAAUUCCAUAUCAUUUUCGCAGUGGAGUGGAGUGCACCAGAUUAUGGUUAAAUAACAUUUUGUGUGAAUCAUUAAGUGGGCAUAAAAUGACGUCUCCUUUUAAGUAACUUUUCGUUGUGCUUGUUAGUGUUCCUCACAGAAUAACAGCUUGUGUAAGGUCUUUUUUUGGGCUGUUAAGUGCUGGCAUGCUCAAGCUGGCAGCCAGCAACUCCUUGUGACAGUAAGGUGGCACAUGUCAGACCUGUAACUCCGCUCAACCGAAGAGAGCUAGAGUGCAAAGUACUGCUGGAAGAGCAAAAUUUUGGAGAAAAAGUGAGUUUAAAAAAUCUGAAAGCCUGAAAGAAAUUGAAUAACAGUAUCCCUGCCCAUUGUUUCAGCUAUUGCUGUGCCCUGACAAAUGUCACUGAAUUCAUUACCGUUUUGUGUAACCAAACAAAACACAGCACCUCUGAUAGAAAAAAGGUUUUAUUCUUUGUCUUUUGGACUCGUGGUUAUGUUUAAAUCCUUUUCUCUAUAUUCUACAACCUUGACUUGUAUCAGAAAUCUUUAAACAGUUGUCUUCAAUAAAAAGCAGCAGACUGCUUUGGGCUGAGAGCUUUUGUAUAAUCUUACUGAAUAGGGGUUUGAAUAGGCGAAUGAAUGGCAGAAUUUGUGAAGCUCUUUGUCUUGUAGGUAGAAAAGAACCGUGAAAUGAAGUCCAUUUGCAUUUAUUUAGCAUUUAAUCUUGUCAAAUAACUAUUAACAUUAUGUCCAGAUAAUGUUAAACUCUCUAAUCACAGCCUGACCUGUAGGAAUUGAUUGCUAACUAAAUGUUAGAAAACUGAUGUGUCAGUCCUUUACAACUUGGGGCCAAGCUGAAUUCAUUUAAACACUCAGGCUAUAUCUGUAUAGCAAAGAUCAAGGUUGUUUUCUUUAAGGCUUUAAAACAGCUUUAAUAUGAAUAAUGAAGCUUCGUGAUUUAAGUAAAACUGCCUACAACACCACAUGUGGAUAAUGUGAGGGUUUUAGUGAGCUGCUGGCGGUGCUGAGUUUAGUACUAAACCAACAGAGUUUAGUGUUUCCUGUGCUCAGUGUCAGUUUCAUAGACUGUACAACUAUGGACAACUUAGUUCCGUCUUCUGCCAGUAUACGGAAUUGAAGCCGAAAAACUCUCGGUAAUUGCGUGUUUUUUCUCCACUUCCUGAAACCAAGAGUGCGUCGUAGUGUUGUACGCAUUUGGCAAGAGAGUCGCCAAGAGCUGCUGUGAUGACGCUCGGCUCAAACAGCGUAUCCCCCAGGGUGAGCUAUGCAAUCUUCUUACGCCCAUAGGCUGUAUAAGGUGUCAAUCAUAGAAAACAUGAACCCCCUAAUAACUUUUAAAAAUGGAGCGGUACAGAAAAACGAGGACUUGAACACAAAUCAGUCUUACAAUAACUACAUGUCAACAUCAGAAGCAGGGGGGAGAAAAAUUUAUAUUCUGUGUAAUAAAUUUCUUAAGUUUGUCCACACCUCCAUAGGGAUCGCUGGAGGAGGCGGGAUUUAUGACCGAUACUGCAGCCCGUCACCAGAGGGUGCUGUUCUCGGGGUGGCUUCACCCAUCAAGGAGGCAGACGCUGUCCAUUCUCAGUGUUUCCCCUACAUUCAUUCAGCAGUGGCGAAUUACGUGCACCGCUACUGAAAUUUCACAUAAUCAGUAAUAUCAAUGCAAAUGAUUUCUACUCGCUCUGUGUGAGCAGAAGAACACGCAACAUUAUUUUCGGCUUGUUUUGAGUCAUCCACAGGCGCAUCAAAUCGUGUCGAACCCUCUUCUAUCAACGCAAAAGGUAACGCUCAAGCUUAUAUCGUUUAUAUAACAAGUAGCAUUAAAAGCAUUAGUAGCACUCACACUGUGUGAGCACAACAAGACACAAUGUUAUUUCCGACUUGUUUGAAGUCUUUAACGAGCGCAUCAAAUCCUGUCGGACCCCCCCAACACCACCACCACCCCCAGACACAGAAGCUGCUGACCAAAAUUCUAGGGGAAACACUGAUUCUAUAUACUGUCUAUAGUCAGAGCUAAGUUCAGAGAAGGCCUUUUAUUUUAAAUUGAUUCAACUUAUUCGACAGUGUCAUGUCAGUGCCAAUCAAAUCCAAAAAGAGGCGGGACUUCUGUUAUUAACUUUGUCAAAAACAAUGGCAGAAGACAUUAUUUAAGAGAAACCAACCACACUCUUUCCCCCAAGGCUACAAUUUCCAGGGACAGAAAUUACUGCUAAUGCUAUGAUAUCAGAUUUAUUUGUAAAAAUCAACCAGAUCAAGAAGCACACAGUGUAAUUUAAAACAGACUUAACAGUCAUAACUCGCUGUAGCUGUAGUGCCGAGGUUCAACUUUUUCACCAUAGCAACAGUUGGCGCUAUAGGGAAGUGCUCUGCAAUUGAGGUCACUGAGCCUGUAGCACAAGAUACUGUCAGUGGGCCCAUAAGUUUGAAGUCAGAGCAAGCUCACAUUUAUUAACAUAGUCAGUGUGAUCAUAGCAAGAAACAACCACUAAAUGUUCAAUCUCUGUUCCUGCAGCUUGGAAAGGAUUAAUAAUUAGGAUUUAAAGAGCGAAAAAAAACAUGUGCUAUGAUUCAAAAAAAGAGUUGGAAAUUUGUGUAAAUGUAGAUCAAGUUUGUGGCUGAAUUCAGAAUGGAUGCAUACUAAUGUAAAAAAGUUCAAGUGCCAGUUCCAACCCUGAAUAUCUGCAAUUUAAUUUUCAGAAACUGAAAAAAGAUUCAGUUUCUGUUUUUAUCAGCUUUUAUACAGUGCCUCAUCAUUUUCCAAACAGGGUUUUAAAGAGAUUCAAAACUGUUUUUAUGGGCUACCUUUGCAUUACCCUCCCACAGACUUUAUUGCCCUGAAGACAAGUGAAACAAAAUAAGCAGAUUUGGGCUUCAUCAUCUAAAUUUCUUAUUUUCUUGGAUCAAUAAUUGUAAUUUUAAUUUUUUUUAAAGUUUGCCGUAAUGUGUAUUCUGCAGCCAAGUAACUAUUUCUGGAUAUUUGUGGUGGAGAUUCAUGCGAGUCCUGCUCUGCAAAAGUAUUCUCCUAUUUGGCAUUAUUCUGGUGGCAAUUUUCGAGCAUCUGUUCAUCUUUUCGUUUUUGGACAUUUGCCUAUGUGAGGUCUGUUAGUUAACGGAGAAGAGUUUUCUCUGGACAAACUAUUACAGGAGUUUAGCUGUAAAUUGAAGACAGUUUCUGGCUUAUUCUACUUGUAUAAAAAAUGAGUCACAAGGCCUGAUCAGUGCAACCUCAUACAGAGUUGAACACAAUCAUUCCAAUCAGAGCCAGGACUGCUGGGUAAAGUACAAAGACUCAGCACACCACCACCCACUAUGGUCACCCUGCCUUAGUAGCCUUUGGAUGCUGGUAAAUGGGCAUGACAUCCAGCAUGGUGAGUCAGUCUAAUAAGCUUUGUAAGUGAGUAGGCAGCAGUCGGGUCAUCUCAGCAGGACCUCAUUUCUUUGGCUCUACAAUCCAGUGCCUUUGAUCUGUCUGUAUCUGUAGGGACAGUACUGCGUCAUUUAAAGGUCCUGUUAGUGUCGACUCUGAGUGAUUGUGAUGGCGUACAAAAGAGGCAAGUGAGAGCUGAGAGCUCACAAAGGAAAAAGGCAAACAUGAGCGUGAAUAGACACGGACAAAUCAAUCGCCAAAAGAUCUUUGGCUGUUCCAGUUUUCACAGACUGGAAUUAGUGCUUCAAAAGCAAUAAUAAGUGCCUCCUUAUCACAUUCCCAAACACUCCUAUUCCUCCCUCUUUUUCUCCCUUGCCCACGUGUGCAAAAAAAAAAAAAAAAAACGCAUGCAUGCACGCUUGCUCAUCCCUGUUCUGCAGCACUAAUUACUCGAAAUGAAAAAAGCUCUCCUUUGGGGCACCAAUUUCACCCAGUGUCUGAUGAGCAGAAAUUACAUGUCUAAUGGAAUGGAAUACUUGUGCAAAUUGAAGAAAUGAAACACACUUUUUUUUUAAUCUUCAUGCUACACUAAAUUAGAUUUUAAUUUGGACCACACUCACACACUACAGUGCAGUGAGACUUCUUCAGCAUCUCUCCUAAUUGCCUGUGGCUUUUUUAUUUCUGCAGGUCACUUGCUGUAUCCAUUACCAACUCCACCAUCCGCCGUUUUUAAGAGAUCCCUCAUGAGGUUGAGACUACGAUGUCAAGACAGCUACAGUCAGCGUCAAAGCGAAGCCAUUUUCGUG